This 50217-nucleotide long non-coding RNA is filed under the name Prunus persica (peach). RNAcentral's name for it is "long non-coding RNA (PPER_LNC007450)". Lineage: Eukaryota; Viridiplantae; Streptophyta; Magnoliopsida; Rosales; Rosaceae. The record is from RNAcentral.
AUUGCAGGACUGCUCAAUAUCAGCUGCAGGAGGUACUAGUAGUGGUCAUGUUGGUGGAUCUAAUAAUAAUAUUGGUCACAACUUUGGAUCAUGGGUUGGUGUUGAUGCAUAUUCUUCACCCUACACUCUCUUUGACAAGAGAUCAUCAUCAAGACAAGUGUUUGGUGACCAAGAAAAUACGAUGGAUGAAGAAGAUCAUGAAUACCAAGAAAACCUGCAGGGUUCCCCAGAGAUUGAAACCCUCCCUCUCUUCCCCAUGCAUGGUGAAGACAUCCAUGGCUUUGGCAACAUCAAGUCCACCUCCGACGGCUACUACUCCGGCUGGUACCGCUCCGACGACGGCAACAAUGGCCGCACUUCCCUUGAGCUCAGCCUCAAUUCCUACGGCCACAUGACCCGUGAUUAUUUCAGAUCAUAUUAAUCAAGACCAGACUAAUUAAUUAGUAUCCCCAUGUUAAUGUUUAUGAUCUUAUAUCAGCUUGUAAGUAUCUGAAUGGCUACUACUAAUUAUGUUUGCUUAACUACUAUAUGUCAAUGGGUAUUUGACACGUGUCAUGCAAAGAACUUAAUCUGCUGAUGAUUAUCUUGCUUUUAACUUUUAGUUGUUCCUAUUCCCAAGAAUAUUCCAUGGUAAUUAUUUGCUAAUUAAGAUGCAUGGAGUCUCAAUAAUAUAAUAACAAUAAUAAUCCCAUGAUUCUUAAUUAAAAUGCAAGAACAUGAUCCGAUGGUGCAGAUUUUAACUGCUGGACGGUUUGCAGUCACCUUCAUUGGAUUAAAUAAUGCAUUAAUAAAAGGCCUGUUCAUUUUCAAGCACAUAAUAAUAAAUAAAUAAAUAAAAGUUAAAACUGCAGCUAGACUAGAGAGAUGAAGAAGAUCAAUUUUUGACUAGCUUGCUGUGCUAGCUGUGACGUCAUUUGUCGACAGAGAUUUUAAGUGUGGGGCCCUUGAACUUGAAGGGAACUACGGUGGGUUUACGUUAGGUUUUGGAGUUGUCAAGGUGGGUUGUGUUUAUGUUGUUCUGGUGGGUGUGGGCAACGGGCAUUGUCGAAAAGAUUUGCCAAUGAUAUCAAAUGGUGUACAAAGGAAAUAUAGAAAGAUAUGCUGUUAGGGCAACAAUGAUGAACGUGUGUGAAUGUAUUUUAUAUGCAGCCGUUUUUAUAAAGUAGCUGGGAGCUAGUGGUAAGUGCGAGGAGGAUAUAUUUUGAAGUUUGAACCUACUUUGGAAAUACCAAAAUAUUCUUCUUCUUUUCCUCUUUCUUUUUUGUAUAUAUAUAUAUAUAUAUAUGAUAUGAAGCAAGUUAUUUUAUAUAUGCAUUAAAAUAAAUCCAACAAUCAUGAAUAAUAUAAGUGUUGAAUCUUGGAAAGUGUUACAUUUCAUUCGUAAUGUGUCUUAUUUUUGACUUUACAUUAAAUUUUAUUAUUUGAAUUGAUGUUCAUGCCUUUUACUUAUUCAGUAUAAAAAUAGUAAGUUUCGAUGCCUAAAUAUCUCGGUAGGCUUCCCAGUCGGUUUUUCACGUUCAGUUAAUCAGUGAACUUUGGUAUUUCUAUAUUUUUUGCCAGCCCUAGCUUUGAGUAUAUAAAUAAAUGAUAUAUUUCUUAUACCAUUGGAUUUACAAUCACUUAGAACUUUGACGAGUGUAAAUGGCGUCUUCUUCACAUGGGUACGAAAUGAGUUAAACAAGCAGAAAUGAAAUGUGUGUACAAAUGAACGUGACAUGAGCCAUACGACACAUUCACAAAGACAUUCACCAACAGAAAAUAUAUUCACUCUCCAUCAGUCCAUAUACAAUCACAAUUGGGUUCAAUUUUUCUUGCGUCUGGUAGAGCUCAGCUUGUGGACAGCUCUAUAAAUGAGGUCCCCAUCAACAAGAUUUUGGGUGGAUGCAUUCCUUUUUCUGGUUUGACAGAAGUUCAAACUUUAUAGCUUAGGGCUGACCUUAAUUGUCGUUUAGAGCAUACAAAGCCUCAAGAGGGAAAAAAAUAAAAAAACAGAGAGCAUGAUCUCUUCGAAGAAGUAACUAACAGACAAUGCUUCUUGUUCCUGGUUGAUAGAUAUAAGAGAGAUUUAGGUGUGGAUCGAAGAAGAUCUUUAAAGCUUUCUGGGGCUUCAAGUACGUAAUGUCCCUUACCAGCAAAAUGAGGCAUGACAUACAUCAUGCUUUUCAGCCAAUUCUAUGUAAAAGCCUUCAAGGCCAUGGUCCAAGUUGGUUUGCUUGCCAUUUUCAUCGCAACUAUAUAUAUUGCGGUUCAAUAUUUUUUUACCUAUUGGUCCGCAUGGGUCCAUAAGACAUUUUGCUUUACCCGUACGUAUACUAUGUCCACUUACUCACAUUUCCAUAAUCUCUCCCACAUGAGUUUUAUCUUUAUCUUCUUCUCUUGGAAUGGAGAACUUCAGUAGUCUGACCAUAGCUUGAAUUUUAAGUGAAUCUCGAGUUUUUCGGGUGCGGAAUCCACACCAUUCACGGUUGUCGGUUCUCCACGCUUCAAUAGACUACUCUAUAUUGUUGAUAUGUGCAUUGUCUACACCCAUCAACGACUGUCAAUUACUAACGCAUAUAGGAGGUGGGCAUGGUUGCCAUACAGUAAUUCAACAUUAGAAAACGCCUAUUUUGGCACCAGUGUGACUGGCCUCCACCACUUGAUAUCUGAUCUGACAUUUCAUCUUCAUGAUACGAUUUACAAUCAUGGAACAUGCACACUAUGUAAAAUUUGGAAGUGAUAACUUUGUAAAAAAUUUACAUUUAGAUGCCUGACACUGACUUUACAAAGAGCAGGCCAUACGAUCUGGACCUUACUUGCAGAGCAUCUAUAAAUCCUUUAAGAAUCUAUAUUUUGGAUUUAAAAAGAAUGACUCAUAUGUUAGUACAAUUCUCUUUUUCUGUUCACGGGGUCCCAGAAGCAAGGCUGAAUCAUGACAAUAACUCUGGCUGUAACUUCAAGUUUCACUAACAAAUGGACAAUUAAAUGGCACUUUUGAACUGCUUUGCACUAGAAAUUAGGGGGGAGAUGACCGAAAAUUUCUACUUCCUUCCAACAUAAGCUCCCAAUUUAGACAAAUCUGGAAUCCAAAAUGAUAGCUCAGAAGAUCCAGUUGCAAACAUGAGGUUUCCCGGAGCCCAUUUGACAACAGGAGGUUCAUUUUCAGUGCUCAUCCAACUUGUGACCUGGAUAGGUUACAAUCAUUAAUUGUGACUUAGAAGCACAAGGAGAACAAAGAAAUACGAAUGGAUGAAGGCAGAAAAUUAUUUAUCAUACUUCUUUCCCACUCCGAACACUCCACGCAUAGACACUACCAUCACCUGAACCUGCCAAAAGUUUGGAAACCAAUAAAUCAUUUGUCUGCCAGUCCAGCCAGGUUAAAUUAUCAUGGGUGGAAUUCAGGGGUAUGCUAGGGAAAGCAGGUGUUUUUGGGUAAGUAUAUUGAAUAAGAUGUAUGCAUGAAAAUGAAACCACAGCAUUGAAGAAACUAUGCAUUUAAACAGCAAUCAACAAGAUGAUGUCCCAGAGCUUACUCACAUGACACAAGAAAUCAUAAGUGACAAUUAUGUUGGAAUUUUAUACCCACUCAGCACAAUAGGCACAUAUAAGUACAACAGAAAGAAAAAAUGAAACAGAAGACAUGCAUACCUGAUAUGACAAACAUCCCCUCUGGGCUGAAAGAAGCCUCUAAUGUUGAACUGCUGGAGACUGGCUUUACAUUAUAUGUGGAUAACUAAACAAUGACAAAAAAACCAUAUAGAAAGACUAAAUUAUGUAAAGGCUACCAAUUCAAGAAAUUCAAGAAAUUCAAGAAAUUCAAGAUGAUCUGAGUUGGUUGAGAGCAAACUUUUUCAAAUUAAAAUUGAGUUGUUGAGGAGAGCAACUUACAAGUGUGCCACGGAACGAAUCAAGAACAUGAAUAUGUCCAUCUGUGGUUGUUAAAAGCACAAGUCUCCCAUCGUUACUGAACUUUACAACAUUUGCAUCAGACAUAUCUCCCCCAACAGAAAAGAUAUCAAAAGGACCCUAACAAGAUGAAACAGUUUAGACAACCAGAUCAGCCAUGCUUACAUUGUCAUAUACAGAUAAAACAGUUUACACGGCUGCAAAAUUUCAAUUGCCAUAUGCACUGAAAUAUAAACAACUGACCUUUUCAUACUUGCGGGCAUCAAACAUUCUUAUGUAUCCACCAAAGGCAACUGCAAAAACUAGCCCUUGAUCAUCAUAAGUUGUGGCAGGCCUUCCUUGUACGCGUAAGAGACCCUAAAAUACGAACACAGAUUAUAAUCAUUCAAAGAAAGACAUGUAAUAUAAGAAACCCAACCCAAUACCCAUAUGCCAAGGCCCCUACCUGACACUUCUCAGCCCGUUGAUCCCAAAGCAGAACAGUUCUAUCAAGAGAACCGGAGAUGAAGCAGUCUUUGCGAGAACACAAGCUAAGUGAGACUACCCUAAACACAAAAGUUCAGAACCCAAUUUCUCCCAUUAGACAGAUAUGUUCAACUACUUCAGUACAACCCACCCACUUGAGUUUUAAAAAAAUGGCAAUAAUCUCAGAAACCAGACCUGUCAUGGUGGCCUUUGAAAUAACGCAAGUACUUGUUGUCAUGCAAUGAGAGAAGCCUCAAGGAUUCUGAAUGAACCAGUCAUAUAAACAACACAUUCUAAGUAUGCCACACAGUUGACAAACAUAAAUAUCAAACAUGGUAGUUGAGGUAAAGUGGAAGCAUACCAUCCCAGCCAUUUUUGGAAGAGUAUAUAACUGUGGUAGGAUGAGAAGUAAAGCAAACCAAAUCAACUCCAUACUUUUUGCUGUUGAUGGUCUUCAAGCAUGUUGCAGUGGAGACAUCAUAUAAACGAAUCGACUCAUCAUCACUAGCAGUCACUACAUAACUAGUCGCCUUGUGAAAAUCCAACGAACUAAUUCUACCACUCUGAGCAUAAAAGCAAAUACUCAGAUUCAAAUACACAAAGCUCGAAGAAAAUGGUAGUUUUUAUUUAUUUGUUAAAUGAUGAAAACAACCAGAAACAGAGAGAUAAAGUACUUACAUAGUCUCUAAAAGCUAACCCAACUUCCAUGCUUUGAAGAAUUUCCUCUGUCAGCUCCAUAGAGACCUUGUCUUCUCUUUCUGAAAUCCCUUCACAGCAAGAACAAAAAUAGUAAAUAAAAUCAGUAAUUCACUAAUUGACACCAAAUCUAAGCGAAAAAUGUAAAAAAUUUCACACCAGCCAUUGGGAAUCGGUUAAUAUGGUUCUGGGUCUAUCUCAUUCCGGGAAAUUGAAAAUUUCAGUGAAGCCCUCCGCCUCCUGCCUCCGUCUCCAACCUUCGGCAAUGUAGAUGAAAUAGACACAGGGUCGUUUUUCUUUUUCGUAAGCUCGCCAAGUUUGUCAUUGGGUGAGCUCAAGCCCAUAUAUGUGUUUUAUGGACUUUGGACCAGGUUUGUUAGCUCGUAUGCUUUUACUUUUUGGGUCGGAUCUUUUAUUGGCCCAAUGAAUUCUUCUUUAGUCCAUUUAUUUUUAUGGUGAUACCAAUCAUCUAAUUCAAUUCUCAAUAUCAAUUGGAUGAUUGGAUUUGAUUUGAUUUGAUUUGAUUGAAAACAUCACGAAUCUAUAUCUUAAAUAAAUUGAUUUAAAUUAUAUUACUUUCGAACCGAUGCACACCGUUAAAUAUCAUAUGAUAAAAAUUUUCACGAAUCUUAUACUUUCAUUGAUGAUGUUGAAUUUAUGAAAUUCUUUAACAAGUGUCAUUAGUAUGUAUCAAUUUAUAAACAAAGUGCUUUGAGGACCAAAGAUUUUUUACAAACAUUUUAUCUGCUUUUUCUUUUUUUCUGAUUAAAGACAAGCAUCUUAUCAUUGCAAAUUCGAUUCCAUAUGGAACAAACACCAUAUAUAUUGCGUUCUCAAGAAAAGAGAUAAACCACAUAUAUAUAUAUAUAUAUAUAUAGAGAGAGAGAGAGAGAGUUGUUCUCUACUACAGACCCGUAUUUUUUUUAAUGUCCAGACCACUUGUUCUUUUGCCUUCUUUGUGUUAAUAAAUCAACCCAAACACUUGUAUCACUUUUCUUGGUAAAGGUAGAAUAGAAACCAUGCUCUGUCAAUUCUUAAAAGUCAAACAUCAUCACCUCUAGAUUGGGCUUUUCUUUCAUUGGUGGACUGUAAAGAGAAUUUGGAGGCUGUUAUGUGUGCUUUAGUGCCUUUUUUUAAUGAUAAAGAAGAGAAAUGCAGAAAACAAAAUGGAAAUGGUUUCCUGAUCAUGUGAAAAAACAAGUGCACAUUAAGCAAUUCCGGACGUCCACACUAGAGAAUAGUCCUAUAUAUAUAUACAAACAGUUAUUAGGAAAGAUUUAGAUCAUUAAAUCAUUGAUAACUGGAAAAAAAAAAGACUGAGAAGCUUCUCAACAAAAAAAGAAGACAAAUUUAUGAAUCUGAAAUUAAUUCCCUGUAAAUGCACAUACCAAUUUACAAUUCACCCCUAACAAUCUCAACAAACACCCUCUCCCUCUGUAAGAAAAUCUAAAGAAAAAAAAAAACAAAGAAUGGCAUAAACUCAUGAACAAUAUACUCACACAAAUUCAAAUAUGAAAUAAAAACUAAUAAUUGCUAAUAUGUCACAUAACUAGAACUGGUAUAACCACGUCUCGAUCUGCCACGGCAUCAAUGGAGCUUACUAGAACUAGCGGAAGAGCCCCGGUUGCCGUCCUCCGGCGAAGCUUUUUUCUUGAUGAACUCGAUGCAAUCGGCUACUGCCUCGCUGUGGUGAGGGUCAUCAUGCGGACAAUAAUACCGCUGCGCAUCUGGGCUGGAUCGGCCAGCGUGGCUUGUGGACUUGUUGGAGGAGACAGCAGACAGCAUGAUCAAACGGAAAACCGCCUCGCGAAACCGCUCGAGCAGAGUCAUCGGAGACAGGCGUUUGGUUUUGUUGCUGCACGAGUUGACGUUGCUUCUCAUCCUGGGAAUGCAUAGAUGGGUUUUCAUAAUUUUUGCUUUUAGAGUUUCUCAAGGUUUUGGUGUCGUUUUGAACUAAGACAAUAUGAGAGAGGGGUCAAGGUGUUGCUCUAUAUUUUGAUAUGAGAAUCUAAUUGCGUUGCAUGGAACGACAACUCAGAUUUAUAUCUAUACAAGUUUGCUUUUUGGUUGGGUUUAAUACUACGCUAAUCACUUGUUUGAAUCUGCCAUAUAAUGUUUUUCAUGAUGCGACCGGAUCAUCUUUACAAAGAUUUACUCAAAUCAAUAAGUGUUUUCUUUUAAGUCGGUAAAUUGAAAAGAAUUUAGUUAUCUAGUUUUGUAAUAAAAUAAAUAAAUAAACACGGUAUAUUCAAUAAAUAACAAAAAUAUUCACAAUCAUAAUUAAAUGUCUUACGAUUUUUAAUUUCGAGAAAAUUUUAUGGGAAUGAUGCUUGAAUGAAGACUAAGCUCAAAUGAGUGAUUAGCACUAUAUGUAUUAAAUUAAUAAGUCGUUAGUUUGGUUACAUAUUUUAUAUUAAAAUUGAAGUAGACUUCAUAGCCAUGCAUGCAUGAUGCAUGUUACUAGUAUAAAUUUUUUUGUCUUCAUCGCUGCUAGGCUUCACAUGGCUACAUGUGCAUGGUUGUAUAAUUUUCAAUCAAACUAUAAGUAAUGUAUGGUUCCUAUUGGAUUCCGCCGACUUACCGCCCUGGAAAAAUGAAAGUAAAUUCUAUUGUUUUUAUGUGUGCCCUAAUGUAUUUGUUCCACGAAUUUGUGGGAUGGGGGAUGAAUUUCAAAUACAGAAUUGGGCAUGUGAGAGAGAUGGGGCAAAUUAAUUAUGGUACGUGGGGGUCAAUCUCCCCACCAUGCUUCGAAUUGGACUUGCUGUCGGUCUGUUUGUUUGCUCAUAUAUUAAGGGAGUUGUUGUGUUCACUAUAUCCAUCAUUUAAUUAAUUAGGGUCCUCAAUCGGGUCGUCCCGGGCCAUUUCGGGUCUAUACACCCGUGUUUGGGUUAGUCGGAUUCUUGUCGGAUCGAGAUUUAGCUUAUUGGGCUCAAGUAAGCUCAUUUUGAUCAUCGGUUCAAAAGAUGAUUUCUAAUGUGAAUGAAUGUAGCGAUAUAACAAAACUAUUUGUAUCAGAUCGAUUUGCAAUUUACGUUAUUUGUUAUGUCCCUUAACCAUUUGAGCUACAAGUCCCUUACAUAAUGAGAAAUGAGGAAUCGAACCUAGAACCUCAAGGAAAGGAAAAAUCCAACUUAAAACCUCAAGUACAUGAAUAAAUAUUCUUAACCAUUUGAACUAUAAUAUCCUUUCAUAACUUUACUACUUAUGCAAAUAAAGAUGUAAUGAAUAAAUACGAUACAUAUGUCAAUUAUUCUGGUGAUGGUUACAUUUUUCAUAGAGGUGAUGGGUAAUCAUCCAACAAAAGAGAUGGGGUUUGUGGGUUUGUAUGAACUUCAAUUCGGCCUGUACUCAUUGUAAACAGCAUACAAUGGCAAUGCUUCUGUGGCCCAUAUAACAACAUGUUUACAGAAUUCAUGUUGGGCGUAGGCCGAAGCCCGCCUUACAAAUUUACAAAAAUUUGAAGCAAUUUCCUUAUUUAUUAGAAAAAUGAGAGAGCCCAAAUAAAAGAAACAAGUGAUGCCUUAGCUCUGAUUAUUUCAAUAAAAUUGACUGUUAAUGGAAACCCUUUUGCAGGCUUCAUUUAUCAACAACAAACAUUCUUGAAAUGAAUAUAUUUACUUAAUAAUCUCUGCACAAUCUGCUCACGAGAGCCUCAGGCUCUUGGAGACCCCCCACCACCUUCUUGAAUUGCCUUGUUUUUGGCAAAAAACCACCCAACCAGAGGCACCAAUGGCUUCUUCUUGAUUUUCUUGACAGAAGGGUUUCCAACUCUCUCCCCCAAGUCUUCUUUGCUAACAAUGACUUGGGCCAGUGUAGGAGGACUUGCAAAUUUCACAUAUCUUUUCUUCUGCACCAAUUCCUCUGCGUCUUGGCUCAACAUGGUCUUGGUUUCAAACUUCGCGGCGCCAUCCUCAAUGAAUUUAAGGUCGUCUUCUUCAAUCUCAGGAUCAACUGGGUCCUUCUGAUCAAACUCUCUUGCCUUCAAGUACUUGUGCAGCUCUUUCUUUGCACGGUCAAGAUCAUCCCUUAGUGACUUUAUGCAGUAUGCCAUUAUCUUGUUUUCUUCUCUAACUUUCUGAAGAUUUCGCUUUGUUUCUUCAAGCUCAGCUUCCAAGACCCCAAUUGUUGAUUGAGCAGAAGCAGCAUGCCCUGCAGCUCCAAUCUAACAUAGAAAUUGAACAUUAACACUAGAAAAAAAAGAAGUAAAAAUGGUGUUGUGGUAGGAGCUAUAGCUAACCUCUUUGAGCUUGUUGGCAUAUAUUUCUCCAACCAAAACUCUUUCCCCAAACAACAAGACUGCUUCUUUGACUGAUUUGAAAGGUGCUCUGGUGUCAAUCUCUGCUCGGCCCAUGACCACCAAUUUGCCUUCCUCUGUGUUCAUCAUGCUCAAUCAACGCAAGGAAAGGGAAGAAGAUAUUAAUGGUGGAAUUAAUGAGGAAAGGUCCUUUUAAUACAAGUUUCAAAAUGGGGAGCUGCAAGAGAGGAGGUCGUUGGAAAUGGAUGGUGUGGUUCUAGCUUUGCUUAGAGGAAGUUAAGAAGAAAAAAAUAAUGGGGGGGGGGGGGGGGGGUUUUGUUUUGGUUUCCUUGGCGUCCACUUCACUGAAUUUUGUUAAUUGAAGUUGACAAGAGUGGUUGGACUAUCUUGAUCACUUUGUUACUUCUUGGCUUCUUGUUAGAGUUUGGGCUGCUUCCUUCCGUUACCAAUGUGGGUUAAACAAAUCAAUAAGCAUUAACAGCCAAGUAAUUGAUAGAUCACAAAUAUAUACCGCCAAUUAUUAGGUGUGAUGUGAAGUCUCAUGGUACUGCUUUGUCACUUCUUAUGGGUUAAGAGAUAUGGAUUAUGUUUGAAGACAUAAAUGAAGCAAUUGUUAUGAGUUAUCUGAUAAAUGUGGUUAUCCCUAAACUUACAUGUAUUCCAUGUAUGUAGAAGAAUGACUCUUGUGAGCUAUUCAAAAGGUCACUGCUGUUAAAAUAAUUGGAAUAUUUUAUUUUUAUAAAACACUUUAAACUACUUAACUUUAAAGUGAAGUAGGUUUUUUGUUUGAAAAAGCAAUCCCAAACAGAGCCUUAGUUUUUCAAUAUGUCCAUAAAAUUGCAAUGUGAUAUUAUCAAUUCAGUUAUGCUAUAUACAAAUAUAUAUGUAUUAAUAUUAUAUCUUCAAGUAUAAACAUGUCUCCUUCACAUGUUUAUAAAUUGAGUGAAUUAAUAACACUAAACUAAAUAUCUUUACUAUCAAUUUGGAAAUUUAAAAAUAUGGGAAGUAAUAAAUUGAUUUGAAAAGUCAUUCUCAUUAAACUGUUUACCAAUCAUAUAGAAUCAUAAUAGGAAUGAAGUUGAUUCCAAUUAUUACUAUUUACUAAUUCUCAUGAACCGAAACUCUGACUUUUAAAAUGGGACUUACAUUUGUUUGAUUCCCUAUGUGUUAGUAACGUGAAAAAAAUAACUGAUUGAAAUAAUUUCAUUUAUUCUCAUACCCAUUCCUAAUAAGUGACAGUGUUACAUUCAAACACAAAAACUUCUAUGUACACACGGCACUUCCUAUUUUUUCUACCCUUUUUCUCUCUCCAGCCACAGUGGAGAUUAGGCCGUGGUUCGUAAAAUAGUGAGGGUGUUAUUUUGAACACACGAGUCUGGCUGGAUACCACCACCAACAUCAAACACACAAGCCCGACCACCACCACCACGAGUUCCCGACCACCACACCAUAAGUCCACGAUCGUCUGCCCCUAGUCUAGUUGAUGGUUCGAUUGGGUCUGCCCCUAGUCUAGUUGAGUGAACAACCAUCCUCAUCUCAGGGCGCUCUUGGCCUCCGCACCCCAACUUUUAAGAGAGCCAUCCACUUUUGGUAUGUGGUGGAUGCAAACAAAACAAAACAAAAUUCCAAAUGAAAUCUUAAAUAGUGUGGCAUAAAGAGAGUGAAAAUGAGGGAAGGAAGAAGAAAAGAGAAAGGAAAGAAUAUGAAGAAAGAAAGAAAAAAGAAAUAGGGAAGGCAGAAGAAAAGAGGAAGAAAGGAAGAAGAAAAGACAAAGUAGAGAAGAGGUAGAAAGAUAAAAAAGGACACAAGUUUUAGCCUUUAAAAAAUAUUAGAAUUUUAUUUAUUUAUAGGUCAAAAUUUUUAAUUAAAAUUAAAUAUUAGAAUUUUAUUUGUUUUAUUUGUAUUUAUUUUUAUGUCAAAAUCCUUAAUUAAAAUUAAAUAUUAAAAUAAUUUUUUUUUUAGUCGAAUGCAACACCAAACGUAGGUCAGUAUUUUAAUCCAGUUUAAGCCAAUCCGAAAAGCUAAUUCAAGACAAUCUCAAAAUUUAAUUCAGUCCAUAAUAGUCCGUUGUACCAAACCCUCUGUAGGUGUGUGAUGAGCAGAUACUGGGUACAAAUAUAACUUCUCUCCUGGCCUUUUAUCUCAAUAGCAGGUUCCUAAACCCUUUGCAAAUAAAAUCAGCCCAAUAUCUCAAAAUCAGGUCCCUAAAUUAAAUUUGGGCCUCUAACGGUUUCAGAGUCCGUUAAACCACUCUAUAAAACGGCUUUCGUCCCUGAAAACCACUUAACGCAAUUCCCCCAAAAUCUCGAGUCCUCGAGGACACGAUGAGAGAAACAUAGAACACUGUCAGCGUAAAUAACAUAACAUAUAGAGAAAUUACAAGACCAUUUCCCGACCAUCACUCGAAAAACCCUAAUUUCCAACAUUGAAAGUCAAUUUCUCCUCCGUUUUAUCCGUACGAUCUCUUCCAUUUUAGACCAACAGCAGUAAGUAGGAGAGCUCCGGUUGCUUGGAGUGCUUCUUGAAGUAGAAGAAGAAGAGGCUGCAGAGUCGCGCCAGGAGCACUUUAAUCUGAGCAACCAGAGUCUUUGAAAUUUGGUUUCGAAGCUGUGCGUUUCGUGUUUUUCGCGGCAAAGCUAGGGUUUUUUGGUUGCUUUCUGCUUGUUCUACUAAGCCAUGAGUCCGGUUCAGAAUUUCGAGCAACACGCUCGGCGUCUCGUCGAGCUUGACCUCCGUACUUUCUCUCUCUCUCUCACUCUCUCUCUCUGAAGCAUAAUUCAACUAUGGUUUUGAACUCUUAAACCUCCCUUUAGCUUCUGAGCAAAAGUUAUAUAAUUUUGAUAAAAUUUAAUCAAACGAGCCCUUAAUAUGAGAAUCAUAUUCAUCUUCCUGUGCAAAAUAUUAAUUUAUUUUCCAGUAAUGCAGGUCCUAUUGAACCAAGCAUGUCCUUUGUAUUCACACCCAAUAGUAUAACAAAACAAAACAGCUCAAUUUUGAUUUGAUUAAUUAUUGAUUUAACUACGUUUGAACGAAGGUCUUGACGAUGUUCUUGUUUCUUUUGUUCCUUCUUAUUUGGAACAGCAAUUCAGACAAGGCUUCAGAUGGCAAUGGAGGUUCGGGACAGCCUAGAGAUUGCGCACACUGCCGAGUACUUGAAUUUCCUAAGAUGCUACUUUCAUGCAUUCUCAGUGAUUCUUCAGAAAAUUACAAAACCACAGUUCACGGACAAUCCCGAACACAAGCUCCGAAACAUCGUGGUGGAGAUUCUCAAUCGUCUCCCCCACAGUGAAGUACUCCGCCCUUUUGUCCAGGAACUCUUGAAGGUCGCAAUGCAAGUACUAACCACUGACAACGAAGAGAAUGGCUUAAUAUGUAUCCGUAUUAUCUUUGACCUCCUUAGGAACUUCAGGCCCACUCUGGAAAAUGAAGUUCAGCCAUUCUUGGACUUUGUUUGUAAAGUUUACCAAAACUUUAAGUUGACGGUUAACCAUUUCUUUGAAAAUGGGGCGGUGGGUGGGGAAGAUAUCAAGACUAUCGAUACUUCUUUAGAUCAACCAUUGAGUGGUAGUAUCGGCAGUAUCGGUGGUGGUGGAAUUGGGGGUGGCGGUAUUGGUGGUAGUGGGUAUGCUGGUGGUGGGCAGCUUAACCCCAGUACACGUUCUUUCAAAAUUAUAAACGAGAGUCCCCUGGUGGUCAUGUUUUUGUUUCAGUUGUAUAGUCGACUUGUGCAGACCAAUAUUCCUCACCUGUUGCCUUUGAUGGUUGCUGCUAUAUCUGUUCCUGGCCCUGAAAAGGUUCCUCUUCAUUUGAAGACUCAUUUUAUUGAGUUGAAGGGUGCACAGGUGAAGGUAAGCAGGUGUUUCUGUUGAGUUUAUAUGUAUUAAAUCUUACACGAGCAGGGCACUGUUGUUUGUUACACUUGUUUAAUCAUUUUCAUUUUUUUGUCCAACCUGUCCAGGUCUUUUCAUGAGUUUUUACUAAUUUGUUUCUUUUCCAUUGCAGACAGUUUCGUUUUUAACGUAUCUGUUGAAGAGCUUUGCUGAUUAUAUCAGGCCGCAUGAAGAAAGCAUAUGUAAAAGCAUAGUCAGUUUGCUAGUUACAUGUUCAGACUCUGUAUCAACUAGAAAGGUAAAAAUUAUUGUCUCUUAGUUUAUUUUUCUCCACUUGGAUCUUUUUAUUCUUCCGUGAAUGUAAGUCUGAAUCAUAAAUAUUUUAUGAAUACAGGAAUUGUUAGUAGCCCUAAAACAUGUUCUUGGAACAGAUUUCAAGAGGGGUUUAUUUCCUCUGAUUGACACACUAUUGGAGGAAAGGUAACACUGUUGACUCAAUCAUAUGGUGACCUCUAAUUGCCAAAACAAUGAUACAGAAAUUUCAUUGUCAAGCUGAGCUGGAUAAAUGCAAUAUCUUUAUAUAAUGUUGAAAAGAUAUUCUUGUUAGUAGUCUAAAAACAUGUUCUUGGAACAGAUUUCAAGAGGGGUUUAUUUCUUCUGUUAUGUAUUCAUGGUUAAACAAAAAGCAUCAUGUUGAAGAGAUGUAUAUAAAUCUGCUGCUAAUGGACAGAUGAAUACCAAAAUUUGACACGUAGUGUAGAUAAUAGAAUUACUCGUUUAAUUUUAUGGGAACUUUUGCCCCCACCUAAACGAUCCUUCUGCUGGAAAGUUCAUAUUGGUCGCCAUCAGAUUGAAAUAUUUUUUUGGCCGACAUGUUGAAUUUUAGAUUAAAAUAUGUUAAGAUUUUGAAUUUUAUUAGGGAAAGGGCCACGACAUGAUGGUUCUCCCCCCAAUCUGCUUCCCAUGUGAGCAGUUUUUUUUUAUCAUAUUUGUUGUUUUUGAUAAUGCACAACCUUCCAUUGGACAGAACUAUAGUGUUCAUUCCCACAUUUCUACUUUGGAGUUCUUCCUGACUUUUUAACUUUCAGAUACAAAUAAGAAUUAGCUAUUCCUCCUGAACUUAGAGAAGAUAGAAUAUUGUUAUAGCUGACUAUGCUUUGAUUUUUUUAGCCCUUUUCUUCUUUAACCUUUUCAGGGUUCUGGUUGGAAGUGGUCGAGCCUGCUUUGAGACAUUGAGGCCAUUGGCAUAUAGUCUACUUGCAGAGAUUGUUCAUCAUGUUCGUGCGGACCUUUCCUUGUCACAGGUAUUUCCUUUGUAUGAUAUCUAAUGUAAAACCAGUGUUAUCACUGUCUUGGCUUUGAUGAGGCUCAAUCCUAUUUAUCAUUAUACAACUUUCAUUCACUGUGUAUCGUACGGUUGUACAUCUUUAUCAUCAUCCUCCAUGGAUGAAUUUCAGGAAUUACCUAUGUUCACUUGAUUGUUGCACUUCUGCAAAGUGAGAGGAUGAUGAUGGUUUCGUAGUUGAUGGGUGGGAGUUUCGUGGUGAUGUUUGUUUUGCUAGUCUUGUGUCUGUAGUUGGUUUACCCUAUGUGUUGUGCUUAGUCUUAGGUGGACAGUUUGCCCAUCACUCUUUUACUUAGUUUCUUUGUUGUGAAGGUCAUUUUUCCUAUCUAAGAAAAGUUGAUUCAACCUGAAUCCUUAAAGGAACUUUCUUCAAGGUUAAGAUAUACGGCACUUACUGGUUGUCCUGCAUUAUGAUUAUGCUUUCAAAUAAGUCUUUUAUGACCCAAAGUAACCUUCCUUUUGUUGGAUUGAGAAAACACAGAGUCAAUCAAUUUCCAUGUCAUACAGGAGGGUAUAAUGCCUAUAAAGCUGUUGGAGAUCUGAGUGGCAAGAUUUAUACAGUUAUUCAUGCCCGAAGAGUCUUGCUACUACUGUAUUUCAAUUUUAUCCUCUUUAUCAUAUGCUUUUGUUGUUGUCAUGAUUUCUUAUCAAGUUUUUAUAAAUUUGAGAACUGAGGUAAAUACAUGAUACUGUUAGUAUGUACACUGAAAUUGGAAAUUAAAAAAAGGAAGCGACGAUGUCAAUCACAGGAAUUCGUAUGUUGUGGAUUACUUUUGAUUAUACUUCUUCUAUUUCAGGCUUUUAUUUGUUGUUUUCUCUUUAGGCGAUGAACUGCAAUGCUCAAUUUGGGCCUUCUAGAAGAAUAUAUGAAAGGAUAAUCAACCAAUUAACAAAAAGGCAUAAGACAAAGGAUAAUUAACUUAGUUACACAUACUUUGAAUUGUAAUUUAUCUCAAGUGUCAGCAUUUGCUUGUUUAACAGGUUUUUGUGUUUUUUAUUUUAUUUUUCCGUAAUGGUCAGUGGCUCAUUUGGCACUUUGUUUCUGUUUUAAUUUGAUUGCUUUAAAAUUUGAUUUUUGUUGAUGUGUAUCUUCACAGUUUUCAUCAUAACUUAAAUUAUCUUCUAACAUACUUACAUUAUGUGCUGCAGUUAUCCCGAAUCAUAUACUUGUUUUCGAGCAACAUGCAUGAUGCUUCAUUGUCACUGAGCAUUCAUACUACUUGUGCUCGCUUGAUGCUGAAUCUGGUGCAUAUGCUGACUCUAUUCUUCAAGAGAUUUUGCAGUUUUUAUUUUCAUUUGGGUAUUCAGUUAUAUUUAUAAAUUUGUUGGUACACAGGUGGAGCCAAUAUUUGAGAAAGGUGUCGACCAACCAUCUAUGGAUGAAGCACGGAUUCUAUUGGUCUGAGUUGCAAUCUAACUGUUUGCCUAGAAUGGUUUGAAUUGGUAAACUUUAUGAGUUUUCUCUUUCCUUUAGCUUAUAAAUUAUUAUGGUUCUUUGAAGGGGCGUAUAUUGGAUGCUUUUGUUGGAAAAUUUAGUACUUUCAAGCGGACUAUUCCUCAGGUAAUCUUUGACUGCUGUAGAUUUUCUCAACUGCAAGGGUCUCUUCUUUAUUUGAUAUUUUUGUUUCAUGUGGAAGCUUUUGUCUCGUCAUAUGGGCUAUGUAUUAGGAAAUAUUUUUGCUAACCACUUUAACCCAAGGUCUAUUAUCACCACCUUCUUAAUGCUUGACACAUGUCCAUAGGCAUAACCAUGGUUAACUUUUUACUUUGUAUUUAUGGAACCAUGGUUAUGCAUAUGGACAUGUGUCAAGUGUUGACAAGGGUGGUGAGGAUACACCUUGGGUUGGGUUAAAUUGGUGAGCAAAAAUGCUCUCCUAUGUAUUAUACAUAUAUAUAUUGUCUUUGUAUGGUUUAUGUUCUGCAGUAAAGGAGUUUUAUGUUACAUGUCAUAUUGUCUGUAGCUCAAAUAAUUAUCUUCUUGUUUUCCGACAAUGUAUUGAAAUAAUUUGGUUAAUUAUGUAUCGGGAAUGGUUGGUAGUCAAUUGACUGUUAUUAAGAUGCUAUUGGCUUUUGAGGUUCUUUGCAUUUGCUGAAAUCCAUCUUAUCCAGAUGCUAAUGAUCUUGGUUGAUUGAUUGUUGUAUCUUGCUUAUUUGUUGAUACUGACGUGUCUCUGUAUUUCCUGAUAGCUGUUGGAGGAGGCUGAGGAGGGAAAGGACCGUGCUACUCUAAGGUCAAAGCUUGAGCUCCCUGUGCAGGUAGUUUUGACAACUUCUCUUUGAGAUUACUGUUUGUGUAUGCAUAAUUUGUUUUAUGGUUUCUAGUUGUCCGUUUAAUUUUUUCUUGUACUCUCCACCUUUAAUUUUUUUAAUGCUAAAGUACAUCCUUUUUUUUUUUCUUCUAAAUGCUAACUGUAGAUUAUUCCCUAUGUUACACUUUAAAAGGUCAUAAAAAUGGUAUUAAAUAUGUUCAUCAUUGAGGAUUAAGCCGGUGGAUUUAUAAGUACUUUUCAGUUGCUCAUGGAAUCUAAAAGCCUAAAAGCCUUCAAUUUCCUUUUUAAAAUUUUCUGCAACUAUAAAGACAUUCGAGAAGGACGUUGCAGGUUUUGAAGGGUUUAAAAUACUGCUGACAUUAAUGCAUCUAUUAAGAAAGUUAGAUUGACAUUCCUUUUGAUAUGGAAGAAAAUGUAGACAUAUUGGGUGUAUUAGAAGAAUAACUUGAAAAUAGAUAUCCAUGCUUUGAAGUUUGUCUACUUACUUUUUGUCCAAUUCUUUAAUUGCUUGAUUAUAUAGCCACCCCACUCCCUUUCAUAAAACAUGGCAUUUAAAAAUAAAUAAAUUCUUUGGCAUAUCAUUUGUUUGCAGGCAGUUUUGAAUUUGCAGGUCACUGUCGAACAUUCUAAGGAAGUCAAUGAUUGUAAACAUCUGAUUAAGACAUUGGUCAUGGGUAAGUGAUCCUUCGUGUAAAUUUUUUUUUUCUGUGUCUCCACUUAUAGAUUAUAGUAUUACUUGUUUAAGGAAUCUGUGAUUUUAAGUUUCUUACACUUCUGAUAUGUUCUUGAGUGGUAUUGCUAAUUUUUUUUUCCUUCAUGCGCUGAUCAAUCUGUGCUGCAUAUAUUGUCAGGAAUGAAGACUAUCAUAUGGAGUAUUACCCAUGCACACUUGCCGCGAUCACAGGUAUUAUUAACUAUGUCAAUAGUUUGUUCUGACUUGCUUAACAUUUGUUAUCUUAUGCGACAUUUCUGAUGGUUUAAGGUUUCUGCUUCCACCCAUGGAACACACCCACAGGUGCUUGUUUCACCAUCAUCUAAUUUACCAGCGCCUCAAGCAUUUAAGGGGAUGCGAGAAGAUGAGGUAUUUUCAGAUUGAGUUAUGAAUUUUGGGGUUUGUUUUGUGGUUUGAUUCACUUGGUCUGACUUUGGUCUUGGGUAGGUUCGGAAGGCUUCUGGUGUUUUAAAGAGUGGGGUGCAUUGCUUGGCUCUCUUCAAGGAGAAAGAUGAGGAGAGGGAUAUGUUGCAACUCUUUUCCCAGAUUCUGGCUAUCAUGGAACCUCGAGAUUUAAUGGACAUGUUCUCGUUAUGUAUGCCUGAGCUUUUUGAGUGCAUGAUUUGCAACAACCAAUUGGUUCACAUAUUCUCUACACUUCUGCAAGCCCCUAAAGUAUAUCGGCCUUUUGCAGAUGUUUUGGUUAAUUAUCUUGUAAACAGUAAACUUGAUGUUCUGAAGCAUCCAGAUAAACCUGCAGCAAAACUAGUAUUGCAUCUCUUUCGGUUCAUAUUUGGCGCAGUUUCAAAGGCGCCUUCAGAUUUUGAACGUAUUUUGCAACCUCACGUGCCUGUUAUAAUGGAAGUUUGCAUGAAAAAUGCUACUGAAGUUGAAAAGCCUCUUGGUUAUAUGCAACUUCUUCGCGCAACGUUUCGAGCACUGGCUGUAUGCAAAUUUGAUCUUCUUAUGAGGGAUUUGAUUCCUAUGUUACAACCUUGUCUUAAUAUGCUGUUGAUGAUGCUUGAGGGUCCAACAGGGGAAGAUAUGAGCGACCUUUUGCUGGAGUUGUGCUUAACCUUGCCUGCACGCUUAAGCUCAUUGUUACCACACCUUCCCCGUCUUAUGAAGCCUCUUGUUUUGUGUCUUAAAGGAAGUGAUGAUCUUGUGGGCUUAGGUUUAAGAACACUGGAGUUUUGGGUAGAUAGUUUGAAUCCUGAUUUCUUGGAACCUAGCAUGGCUAAUGUAAUGUCUGAGGUGAUUUUGGCCCUAUGGUCUCACUUGAGGCCUGCUCCCCAUCCUUGGGGUGCAAAAGCAUUGCAACUCCUUGGCAAGCUAGGAGGUCGUAACAGGCGUUUUCUGAAAGAGCCCCUUGUACUUGAGUGCAAGGAGAACCCAGAGCAUGGACUCCGUGUGAUUCUUACAUUUGAGCCUGAAACCCCAUUUUUGGUGCCAUUGGAUCGAUGCAUUAAUCUUGCUGUGGUAGCUGUUAUGCACAAAAAUGGUGGAAUUGAUACUUUCUAUCGAAAACAGGCUUUGAAGUUUCUUCGUGUUUGCUUAUCAUCUCAGCUUAAUUUGCCAGAAAAGUUUACCGACAAUGGAUGCACACCUAGUCAGUUGUCAACUUUGUUAGUUUCUGCAGUUGAUUCUUCUUGGCAGCGGCCUGAAACAUCAGGAAUAAAGGUUGGUUUGGUUAAUGUUAUUACUUUGUAAAGUGCUGAAUGCUGAGCCUGCUAGUGAUUUGAACCUCAAGAUAAUUUUAUUUAUUUAUUGCCUUUUAUUGUAAUUUUAUUCACUGUUGGCUUUGAAGUUGGAAAAAUGAUGCUCGAACGUUGAUAAACAUUUUUGGGAUCCUGUUAUUGGUCUGCACCGUGGGUCCAUCUUUGUUCUUUAGCACUUUACCUAGAACAUGCUACGAGUUAAUGCACAAGUGAACUCCAUGUAUUAGAAUAUACCUAUGUGGGUAUUAAUUAUCUGUAUUACACCUUGACUUUUACACCUUAGUUUAUUAUGUCUCAUCUUUUAGAAACUUUAUUGUCCAGAUAUUUCCCCCCCUUCCCCCGACCAAUUAAAAGUAAUAAUAAUAAAAGAAUAAGAAUACUCUGUUAAUGGUUAGAUGCAUUUUAUUUUCUUAUUGUCUGUGGCAAUUUAUUUUCUUAACCUGUCCUUUAAUUUUCUUCCCGCUGAAUUUUUGUUUUCAGAUGCCCCACAAUGGGAAAUAAAAUAGAAAAAUAGUAUUACGUUAUAAUAAAUUUAGACAUAAUUGCAGGCUGACUUAGGUGUAAAGACGAAGACCCAACUUAUGGCUGAAAAGUCAGUUUUCAAGAUUCUCUUAAUGACUGUUAUUGCUGCCAGCGUGGAACCAGAUUUCCAAGACCCCAAGGAUGACUUUGUUGUCAAUGUAUGCCGCCAUUUUGCAAUGAUGUUCCAUAUUGAUUCAUCCUUAACAAAUACUGCAGUUGCAACUGCUACACUUGGGGGCCCUAUGCUUUCGUCAAAUGCCAAUGUUGGUUCCAGUUCCAGGUCAAAGAAUAGUAGUUCAUCAAACCUCAAAGAGUUGCACCCUCUGAUAUUUUUAGAUGCUCUAGUUGAUGUGCUAGCAGAUGAAAACAGGCUCCAUGCCAAGGCUGCACUUAGUGCUUUAAAUGUUUUCUCUGAGACACUUCUUUUUCUUGCUCGCUCAAAGCAUGCUGAUGUGCCAAUGUCAAGAGGCCCUGGUACUCCAAUGAUGGUCUCUAGUCCGUCAUUGAAUCCCGUAUACUCUCCUCCUCCAAGUGUUCGCAUCCCUGUUUUCGAGCAACUUCUGCCCCGUCUUUUGCAUUGUUGCUAUGGGACAACAUGGCAAGCGCAGAUGGGAGGUGUUAUGGGACUUGGUGCUUUGGUUGGAAAGGUUACUGUUGAGACCCUGUGCCUUUUCCAAGUAAGAAUUGUGCGUGGUUUGGUAUAUGUUCUUAAAAGGCUUCCUAUUUAUGCUAGCAAAGAGCAAGAAGAGACGAGUCAGGUGCUUACACAGGUUCUUCGCGUAGUUAAUAAUGUUGAUGAAGCAAACAGUGAACCACGCCGGCAAAGUUUUCAAGGAGUAGUUGAUUUCCUUGCUACAGAAUUGUUUAAUCCAAAUGCAUCUGUUAUCGUCAGAAAGAAUGUGCAGUCAUGUUUGGCACUUUUGGCUAGUAGAACUGGUAGUGAGGUAUCUGAGCUGCUUGAACCAUUAUAUCAAAAUUUGCUUCAGCCUCUUUUGGUGCGAUCACUCCGGUCAAAAACUGUUGAUCAACAGGUAAUCUAUGUUGCUAAUGGUCAUUAGUGGGAUGUGUUGAAUUUCUUUUUGACUUGAUCUGGUGGUAUACAGGUGGGAACAGUUACAGCUUUAAACUUCUGCCUUGCCUUGAGGCCACCUCUUCUCAAGCUGACUCAAGAAUUGGUUAAUUUUCUCCAAGAAGCAUUGCAAAUAGCUGAGGCCGAUGAAACUGUAUGGGUUGUGAAAUUUAUGAACCCAAAGGUGGCAACAUCACUAAACAAGCUUCGAACAGCCUGCAUUGAGCUACUCUGUACUACUAUGGCGUGGGCAGAUUUCAAAACUCCUAAUCAUUCAGAACUGCGUGCAAAGAUCAUUUCCAUGUUUUUCAAAUCUUUGACAUGUCGAACACCUGAAAUUGUUGCUGUGGCUAAGGAAGGCUUGCGACAGGUCUUGUUUCCUUUUAAAUUAGUCAAUCUAUAUGGUUUUUGCUCGUCUUACUGUAAUACAUGUCUGAAUGUAUAAUGAUCGAUGACUAUGAUGAUUAUCCUAGGAAAGCACUGGCCUCUGUUUUUAGGUUUCACAUUAGGGAUCACUUAUCGUAGCUUGUCUAUUUGACUGGUGAUGUUACUUAUGUAUCAUGUUUUGUUUUGGUUUGUUAAGACAUGGUGGAUGAUUUAUAAAGUUGGGGUUUUUUAAGAAGUCUUUUUAUUAUUUUUAAAUGUACUCUAUUCCAUUUCUUAUGAGAAAACAAACUCUACUCCAUUGCCAUGCAGGUUAUUAAUCAGCAGAGGAUGCCAAAAGAACUUCUGCAGAGCAGCCUCAGGCCUAUUUUGGUGAACUUGGCACAUACGAAGAAUCUGAGCAUGCCUCUUCUGCAAGGUCUGGCCCGUCUUCUUGAACUUCUGUCCAAUUGGUUUAAUGUUACCUUGGGCGGCAAAUUGCUGGAACACCUAAAGAAAUGGUUAGAGCCUGAAAAACUUGCACAAAGCCAGAAAUCAUGGAAAGCUGGUGAAGAGCCCAAAAUUGCAGCUGGUAAUAUAUUUUUGGUUGUCCACUUUUGGUCAUCAGUUCUUGUAUACCUACGCAUACGCAUGAUUACAGAUGAUAUGAUGUCAAAUUUGUGUUCUUUUCAGCUAUUAUCGAGCUUUUUCACCUUCUUCCUGUGGCUGCAUCAAAAUUCCUUGAUGAACUUGUAACCUUGACUAUAGAAUUGGAAGGAGCACUUCUUCCGGGACAAGUAUACAGUGAGAUUAACAGUCCAUAUCGUCUUCCACUGACAAAAUUUUUGAAUCGCUAUGCAACACUUGCAGUUGAUUAUUUUCUUGCUCGCUUAAGUGAACCAAAGUACUUCAGGAGGUAAUGUGUGGAUGCGAUAUACAUAUACAUAUAUAGUUAUGACCUCUUGGCCAUCAUUAACCAUGAAAUCCACGGUCACUAGCAGUUGGAUCAAAAUAUGAUGGUUGACAUUAAUUCCCAAAAGUAAAAUACUGGACUUAAACAAAUUUGAAUGCCAAUUGUUGAAUUUUGAUCCAGCGGUUGGUGUCCAUGGACGUUUUCAUGGUCAAUGGUGACCAAGUGAUCUAAAAACUCCCUGCCUCUAUAAAUAAAUGUGUAUGUCUAAAUAUAUUGAGAGAUGUAUUUAUCCUAUCAUUAUGAUGAAAUUUUCAAAUAUGUAUAAAUCUCAUGGAAUUUUGUUUCUAAAUUGCCAAUUCCCUUUAGAUGCAUUUAUUUGAUUUUGUCAUAUAAUCUAUAGGUUUAUGUAUAUAAUCCGAUCGGAUGCUGGCCAGCCUUUGAGAGAUGAACUUGCUAAAUCACCACAGAAAAUACUUGCAAGCGCUUUUCCUGAAUUUUUGCCAACUGCUUCGGGAUCGUCAACUCCUACCGCUUUGUUGGGUGAUGAAGGUCUUGUUAAGCCUGUACCUGAUAGUUCUAAUCCACCAUCUGCACAUCCUGGUGCAACACCAGAUGCUUAUUUUCGGGGACUUGCACUUAUCAAAACUUUAGUCAAAUUGAUACCUGGCUGGCUACAGAGUAACCGAAUUGUGUUUGAUACCUUGGUACUUGUUUGGAAGUCACCUGCAAGACUAUCUCGUCUACAUAAUGAACAGGAGCUGAACUUAGUGCAGGUUAGUUUAGUGGCUUGUUAUACAGAAGCUGUAUACUUUCUUUGUUGGUUAUCUUUUGGGUAAUUUUUUAUUUUUUGAAAACUAGCAAUACUAUUGGGUAAUAUUAAGAUAGGGGAAACCCACCGACUUUGUCUCUUAUGCAAAUUAUGUGACCUUUUGAGAGUUUAAUUUCUUUUUUUUCCCCCGAUUACUUCUUGCUGUUUGGAGUGUUGAUGCAUGUUGAAUUUUGCUUGUUGAAAUAUCAAAUAUCACUUUUGACUUGCUGUUAAAUUUUAUAAAUUUCUCUCCGUUAUUCUUUAACUUUCUGUGUGUAUCAAUUAAUAUGCGUCAUCAGAUCUUGUUUGUUUUCUAAUGUUUCUAAAAUGCAGGUUAAAGAAAGCAAAUGGCUUGUCAAAUGCUUCCUGAAUUAUUUACGACAUGACAAAACAGAAGUGAAUGUUCUCUUUGAUAUACUCUCCAUCUUCUUGUUUCAUACUCGAAUUGAUUUUACAUUUCUGAAGGAGUUUUAUAUCAUCGAGGUACUUUGAAUACAGGUUCUUUAAAUUUACGUUGUUUUUAUGUUAUUUGUGUUGACUGUUUGUGAAACAAUCAUCGUCUCUUUUCAGGUUGCAGAAGGAUAUCCACCGAACUUUAAGAAAGCACUUCUCUUGCAUUUUCUAAAUCUUUUCCAGUCAAAACAACUUGGCCACGAUCAUCUGGUGGUUAUUAUGCAAAUGCUCAUUCUUCCGAUGUUGGCUCAUUCCUUCCAAAAUGAUCAAAGUUGGGAAGUUGUUGACCAAUCUAUUAUAAAAACGAUUGUUGAUAGACUUCUCGAUCCUCCAGAAGAGGUAUACUUUUUGAAAGAAUUAAAUGUCUCCAGCGCCCCUAUAUCUUAUCUUAUUUUCUUGGUGCUGUUUUUAAAUUGUCCCUAUAUUUUGGGCUGAAGUUCAUUUUGUUUCUAUAUCUUACCAAUUUCGUACUUCCAUAGGUUUCUGCUGAAUAUGACGAGCCCUUGAGAAUAGAACUUUUGCAGCUUGCCACUUUGCUUCUCAAGUAUCUGCAGAAUGACCUUGUCCAUCAUAGGAAAGAACUUAUCAAAUUUGGUUGGAAUCAUCUCAAACGCGAAGAUAGUGCCAGUAAACAGUGGGCAUUUGUAAAUGUUUGCCACUUCUUGGAGGCCUAUCAAGCCCCAGAAAAAAUCAUACUCCAGGUAUGGCACAUUAUGGACAUGAUAUCAAUUUGAAUGUCCUGUUGGCACAAGGUUUUAACCUGUUAUUGGCAUUAAGUUUUACUGCUUUGAAAUUUAGGUUUUCAUGCUGUAUUUGUCAUGUAAAAAGAUCUCAGUUUUUGUGUUUAUUAUUUAUGCUGACACAAUUUUGCUUGGGAAUGGGAAUGACAUCAAUACUUUAAUUCAAAGCAAUUUACCAAAUAUUGGAUUGUUAGAGUGGUCUAUUUAUACUUGUUCUCUGUCUAACUGGAGCCCAUGAGCAUGUGAUGAGAGCACUCACAACCCAAAUAUGCUCAUAACUUUGGGUUCAAAUUGAGUAAUUUAUUAAAAUGAAAGUUAUCUUAAUUUAGUAUCUGGGCGUUGAUUUGAGAAUGCAGGUUUUUGUAGCGCUUCUGAGAACUUGCCAGCAAGAGAAUAAAAUGCUGGUCAAGCAGGCCCUCGAUAUACUAAUGCCAGCACUGCCACGUAGGUUGCCGCUUGGAGAUUCUCGCAUGCCAAUUUGGAUACGGUACACCAAAAAAAUUUUGGUCGAGGAAGGCCACUCAAUCCCUAAUCUGAUUCACAUCUUCCAGCUUAUUGUGCGCCAUUCAGAUCUCUUUUACAGCUGUAGAGCUCAAUUUGUACCUCAGAUGGUCAAUUCUCUUAGUCGCCUUGGAUUGCCUUACAACACUUCUGCAGAAAACAGGCGUCUCGCAAUUGAACUUGCUGGCUUGGUGGUUGGCUGGGAAAGACAAAGGCAAAAUGAAAUGAAAAUAGUAGUGGAUGGUGAUGUCACCAAUCAGAACAGUGAGGGUUUUAAUCCAGGCCCUGCUGGUGCUGAUCCUAAGCGCUCUGUGGAUGGGUCUACAUUUCCUGAAGAUUCAACGAAGCGUGUCAAAGUUGAACCUGGUCUUCAAUCCCUCUGUGUGAUGUCUCCUGGUGGUGCAUCAUCAAUACCUAACAUUGAGACCCCUGGAUCUGCUAGCCAACCUGAUGAAGAAUUCAAGCCAAAUGCUGCUAUGGAGGAAAUGAUUAUCAAUUUCCUUAUAAGGGUAAAGUCCUUUCAACUCAUUACUCAUGUUUUCAUGUAUGAGCGAGAUUUUUUGAAAAUACUUUAUCUUUGUAUUCAAUACCUCAUUAAUUUGGCGUAUAGAAGAAACCUCUAAGCUUUCUGGCGGUGAUGCUCUCCAUCUUGGCACUCCUUCCAUGGAUGUUUUAGACAAAGAAAAAAGAUGACUGCUAUCUUAGACUUUGGCAUCUUUUACUCAAUAAAUAAUUCAAUUUUGUUCUAUGGUGGUUUUUGUUUCUCUAGGUUUAUAGUACAAGUGUUAUAUGUAAUUGAAGAGGUAAUUUUUCAUUAAGUCGCCGAUGAUGACAGUCUCUGUACUUCUGUUUGUAGUUCCAUGUUCUGCAUCAAAGCUUGUCAUGAUUUGUUCAUUUGAUGGUUAAUUGUCUCAGCACUUUAUUGACUUUUGGAAACAGGUUGCCUUGGUCAUAGAGCCUAAGGACAAGGAAGCAAGUACUAUGUACAAACAAGCUUUAGAGCUACUUUCACAAGCUUUGGAGGUGUGGCCAACUGCCAAUGUUAAGUUUAAUUAUUUAGAGAAGUUGCUAAGCAGCAUUCAACCUCAGUCCAAGGACCCUUCCACAGCCCUCGCGCAGGGCUUGGAUGUUAUGAAUAAGGUCCUAGAGAAGCAGCCACAUCUAUUCAUCAGAAAUAAUAUCAACCAAAUUUCUCAGGUAUGUUCUUACACUGUCAUCUGUUUUUCAUUUUCACAAAGUCUACUAUUACCUAGACUUAUGCACUCAACUUCAGUUGUGUUGGUUUUUUUUUUGGACAGAUUCUUGAACCAUGUUUCAAGUAUAAACUGUUGGAUGCUGGAAAGUCAUUGUGCUCCCUGUUGAAAAUGGUCUUUGUUGCUUUUCCUCCAGAAGCAGCUACUACACCACAAGAUGUGAAGCUAUUAUAUCAUAAGGUUGAUGAACUAAUACAGAAGCACAUCAAUACUGUUACAGCUCCUCAAACAUCGAGUGAAGAGAGCACUGCUAAUUCAAUUAGCUUUGUGCUGCUUGUGAUUAGAACCUUGACAGAGGUGCAGAAGAACUUUGUUGAUCCUUACAUCUUGGUUCGUAUUCUUCAACGCCUGGCACGGGAUAUGGGGUCAUCCGCAGGUUCUCAUUUGAGACAAGUAUGUAUCUGUUUUCUCAUAUGUUUACCUCUUUCAUGUUUCAUAAAUUAAUGCUUCAUUAAGGUGAAAAUUUUAUUUGAUUCCUGAUCUUUUUUCUUUCUUAUUUCUCUUUGUUUGCCUUGCUGCUAUGUGGAUUACGCUUCCUAUUCUGUUCAUAUCAGGUGUCAUCAAUGUGCUUUUCUUUGUUUCUUCUUGUUUGGUCACUGUUUUUAAAACACAGCAUUGUGUUCUCUAUUCUUGGUGUUUGAAUUUAGAUUUUCUGUUGCAUGCAAGUAGUGGGACGGUUCUAUAAACUUUAUUUGUGUGCAUAACCAUUUAAGAUACAAAGUAUAUCUUUUCUCUUUGUUUUUCCCCUGUUGUUUUUUUGGUUGUGGGUGUAUGAUAAAAGUUUAAAGUCAUCACAUACAAUUUGCUACAUUAGAAAUAUUCUUAGAAAGUUACAUUUAUAUGUAUGAGGCAAACUUUACUGCUAAAGUUUGAUCGAGUUUUGUACAAUAAGGCUCUGAGGCUUCAUUCAAGGGUAGAACCAUGACAAAAAAUCAACCCAAGCACACAUGUGAUUUGACAUAAUUGACCUUUGUCUACUGAUUCUUUUUUUCUUUUCAACUAUAGAACAAACUCUCGUCUGUGAGAUUUGAACUCAGGCCAUCAAGGUAGAGACAAAUGCCACUAACUAAAUGGUCAUUGUUAAUCUUAUUCUACUAAAGAGGGCGCUGGUUUUAAGUUGUACUGUUUAAUUUUUUAUGUUCAGCCCCCGUAAUGGACUUAUUUCAUCUAGAAGGGUUCAAUACACUUCCGUUUUUUUCCAAAUGAUUAUAUUUUGGAAUGAACAUUUGUGUUUAUAGUUUGUUUUAUGAUGUUUUAAAAUUUGAUAACAUCCCUUCUCUCUUUCGUUGAAUUAUAUAUAGCAAAAAUUGUCUUCUUUCAGGGUCAGACAAAAGAUCUAGAUUCUGCAGUCUCCUCUUCUCGUCAAGGUGCCGAUGUUGGAGCAGUUAUUUCUAAUCCGAAAUCUGUGAUAGAUUCUGCAGUCUCCUCUUCUCGUCAAGGUGCCGAUGUUGGAGCAGUUAUUUCUAAUCUGAAAUCUGUGCUGAAACUUAUUAGUGAAAGGGUCAUGAUUGUUCCAGAUUGCAAAAAAUCUGUAACUAACAUAUUGAAUACCUUGCUUGCUGAGAAAGGUACUGAUGCUACCGUGCUGCUUUGCAUACUUGAGGUAAUAAAAGGGUGGAUUGAAGAUGACUUCGGAAAGCCAGGCACAUCUGUCAGUUCAAAUGCUUUUCUCACUCCGAAGGAAAUAGUUUCCUUUCUUCAAAAGCUUUCACAGGUUGAUAAACAAAACUUCUCAAAUGCUCUGGAAGAAUGGGACAGUAAAUAUCUUCAGCUUCUCUAUGGAUUAUGUGCAGAUUCAAAUAAGUAAGUAAUAUACUUCAGUUCACUUUUGUUAUACUUGAAUAAAAGGAGAUAAUUAAAUGAUUUGAUCAAUGUCCAGAUAUCCCCUAUCCCUGCGUCAAGAGGUGUUUCAGAAAGUGGAAAGGCAAUUCAUGCUUGGUUUACGGGCAAGAGAUCCUGAAUUCAGGAUGAAAUUCUUCUCGCUUUAUCAUGAAUCUCUUGGGAAAACAUUGUUUGCUAGGCUUCAGUACAUUAUUCACCUCCAGGAUUGGGAAGCCUUGAGUGAUGUCUUCUGGCUCAAACAGGGCCUUGAUCUUCUUUUAGCAAUCUUAGUCGAGGAUAAAGCUAUUACUCUUGCUCCAAAUUCUGCAAAGGUGCCACCACUUCUGGUUUCAGGUUCUCCAGACCCAUCCGGGAUGCAGCACCAGGUCACUGAUAUUCCAGAGGGUUCCGAGGAUGCUCCUCUAACAUUUGACACCCUUGUUCAUAAGCACGCACAUUUUUUGAAUGAGAUGAGCAAACUCAAGGUAAGGCUUGUGCAUUAUUUGUACAUUUGGAGAAACUAUUCUGUGACUGCAGCACCAUGUCACAUGCUGACAUGGUGUUACGAGUCCCAGUACACAUGUUAUAAUUUGGAUGGACUUGUAAUACCACGUCAGCAUGCCAUGUGGUGUCAGAGUCACAUACAAGAAUGUAUGGUUUCUAGCAUCUCCCCUCUCCCACUCUUGCACUCCCAGAGUUUGUUACUAAUUAAUUCUGCUUUGAAAGUCGUGGGUGGUAAACCAUAUCUCUCGACAAGCUUGAGUUAUUGAUUGAUAGUCUGACCUUUUUUUUUUUAAUUUUUUAAUUUUUCCUCUGUUUUAGGUGGCUGAUCUUAUUAUUCCACUGAGAGAGCUUGCUCAUAUGGAUGCCAAUGUCGCAUACCAUUUAUGGGUGUUGGUGUUUCCCAUUGUCUGGGUGACCUUACACAAGGAAGAGCAGGUUGCACUAGCUAAACCAAUGAUUACCCUCCUUUCAAAAGAUUAUCAUAAGAAGCAGCAAGGCAGCAGACCAAAUGUUGUGCAAGCCCUUCUGGAAGGGCUUCAGUUGAGCCACCCUCAACCUCGGAUGCCAAGUGAGCUCAUUAAAUAUAUUGGAAAAACUUACAAUGCAUGGCACAUAGCAUUGGCACUGCUGGAAAGUCAUGUUUUGUUGUUCACAAAUGAUGCGAAGUGCUCUGAGUCCCUUGCUGAACUUUAUCGCUUGCUCAAUGAAGAAGAUAUGAGGUGUGGGCUGUGGAAGAAAAGGCCAAUCACUGCUGAAACUAGGGCCGGUCUUUCGCUAGUUCAGCAUGGCUACUGGCAGCGUGCUCAAAGCCUCUUUUACCAAGCAAUGGUUAAGGCAACUCAAGGCACAUAUAACAACGCAAUACCAAAGCCCGAGAUGUGUCUCUGGGAAGAACAAUGGCUGUGCUGUGCUACUCAACUUAGUCAAUGGGAUGCAUUGGUAGACUUUGGCAAGAGCGUUGAGAAUUAUGAAAUACUACUCGACAGUCUUUGGAAAUUGCCUGAUUGGGCAUAUAUGAAGGAUCAUGUAAUGACAAAGGCUCAGGUGGAAGAAACUCCAAAACUUCGGCUCAUACAAGCAUUUUUUGCGCUUCAUGAAAGAAAUUCCAGUGGUGUCGGGGAUGCUGAGAACAUUGUGGGGAAAGGUGUAGAUCUUGCCUUGGAUCAGUGGUGGCAGUUGCCACAGAUGUCUGUCCAUGCCAGGAUUCCUCUUUUACAGCAAUUCCAACAGCUAGUUGAAGUUCAAGAGUCAUCUAGAAUUCUUGUGGACAUUGCCAAUGGAAACAAACUUUCUGGGAAUUCCGUAGUUGGUGUGCACGGAAAUCUGUAUGCCGAUCUCAAGGACAUUCUUGAGACUUGGAGACUGAGAACUCCAAAUGAAUGGGAUAACAUGUCUGUUUGGUAUGAUUUACUACAAUGGAGGAACGAAAUGUAUAAUGCAGUCAUAGAUGCAUUCAAAGAUUUCACGACAACAAAUAAUAAUCUUCAUCACCUUGGUUAUCGUGACAAAGCUUGGAACGUCAAUAAGCUUGCCCGUGUUGGUCGUAAGCAAGGCCUAUAUGAUGUUUGCGUGAUAAUACUUGAAAAGAUGUAUGGCCAUUCAACGAUGGAAGUGCAGGUAUUUAAAAAUAUAACAAAUAUAUUGUAUUGGGCUUAGGAAGACAUCACUCUUACUUUUUUACACCAAUCAAACAAAGUACAAGCAAAAACAUGUGUGUUGAACCUUUAUGGGCAUUUACUACAAGCCUAGAAGACCCUUUAUGAAUGACUUUAUUCUGGGGGUUACUAGCUGAGUUGUUGAAAGCCCUCAAUUUAUGAUUUUUCGUUUCUUGUAUUUGGUUCUUGUAACUUCUAACAAUGUUCAUUAUGUUAACGUAUCAAUUUGAACCUUUUGGAGGUAAUGUUGCAUGAACCUUGUCCUCCUGAGCUUGUGUUUUGUACUUGUUGACUGUACUACGUUAUUUUGGUAAUUUUCUUUCAUAAACUACUUUCGUUUUAAUAGAUGCAGGUUUCUAAUCCCUUUCCGUGUAUGCUACCAGGAGGCCUUUGUUAAGAUAAGAGAACAAGCAAAAGCUUAUUUGGAAAUGAAAGGAGAGCUUGCUAGUGGUCUCAAUUUAAUCAACAGCACUAAUCUGGAGUAUUUUCCUGUGAAACAUAAAGCAGAAAUAUUUCGUCUGAAGGGGGAUUUCUUGUUAAAGUUAAAUGACUCUGAAGGUGCUAAUCUUUCAUACUCCAAUGCCAUCAGCCUGUUCAAAAAUUUGCCUAAAGGAUGGAUAAGCUGGGGAAAUUACUGUGACAUGGUAUUUCAUGUUUGUGCUUCAAAUGUAUUUAAUAAUAUUGGUGUUUUUAUUUGUGAGGGCUUAUCUGCUAAACUAUUUUGCACAGGCUUACAGAGAAACCAAUGACGAGAUGUGGUUGGAGUAUGCUGUGAGCUGCUUUCUUCAAGGCAUCAAAUUUGGCAUAUCUAACUCAAGAAGUCAUCUUGCUCGUGUUUUAUAUCUUCUCAGCUUUGAUACUCCCAAUGAACCUGUCGGGAAAGCUUUUGAUAAAUAUCUUGACGAAAUUCCGCACUGGGUCUGGCUUUCUUGGAUUCCACAGCUCUUACUUUCUUUGCAGAGGGCAGAAGCUCUCCACUGCAAACUCGUCCUACUAAAAAUCGCCACUGUGUAUCCGCAGGUAAAAUGUCCUGUUAUAUUUGUGAAAGGAGAAGAAAUUUAAAACAGUACUUCCCUUCCAACAGAAAUAUUGAUGUUCUCUUGCAUUAAAAUCUCAGGCUCUAUAUUACUGGCUGCGCACGUAUUUGCUUGAACGACGCGAUGUUGCAAAUAAAACUGAACUUGGUAGUAGAAUGGCAAUGGCUCAAAGGAUGCAGCAAAGUGCCUCUGGUGCCAGUGCUGUUUCAAUCGGCUUAGUUGAUGGGAAUGCUAGAGUGCAAGGUCAUAGUGGCAGUAACUUAUCCUCAGACAACCAAGUUCACCAAGCUGCUCAAUCCGGUGGCGGAAUUGGUUCUCAUGAUGGUGGAAACUCUCAUGGGCAAGAAUCUGAAAGGUCCACAGGUGUCGAGAGUGGCAUCCAUACGGGGAAUGAGCAACAAAGUUCUUCAACCAUCAAUGAUGGUGGUCAAAGUGCAUUAAGGCGCAAUGGUGCUCUGGGUUCGGUACCUUCUGCUGCAAGUGCUUUUGAUGCUGCAAAAGAUAUAAUGGAGGCUCUUAGAAGCAAGCAUACUAAUUUGGCUAGUGAACUCGAGGUGUGAUAUUUCCGUCUCAUAUUUAUUAAGUUAAAUAUUUGAUUUACUUUUGUUAUGUAGCAGUUUUACUUUAUAUUUUUUUAUUAGUAAGUCAAUUUUAUUAAUUUUAAUUAGUGGAGAUCGAAACUUUAACUCUUAUACAACUACUGUCUAAGGCAACUCCAUAAAAGAAUCAAAAGAGAGGCUCCAUGUGAUCCAAAAAGACAGGGUGAGCAGAAUGGAAUGCUUCAGGACUCUAAUUGCGGCCUUUGGAUUCUCAAAUCAUCUAAUAAUAUUCUUUUGCAAUUCACACCCAGGGAGCCAUGUGAUAGAACGACCUACUAACAUUCUAUUAAGACAAACUUUUUGUGUUGCUAAGAAGCUAGCCAUACAUAGUAUACCAAAAUGUUUAAUCUUGUUUAAGACUGCUCAUAUGGAGAAAGCAUAUUGAAGAAAAAAAGGAGUCAUAUCUUGGUCUUUUUGAUCAACUAGAUGAUAUAUUUGUUUCUUUUUUCUUUCUGAGUGCAGACUCUGCUGACUGAAAUUGGUUCAAGGUUUGUCACUCUGCCAGAGGAGAGACUUCUAGCUGUUGUUAACGCACUGCUUCAUCGAUGUUACAAGUACCCAACUGCCACAACAGCUGAGGUUCCCCAAUCUCUUAAGAAGGAGCUCUCUGGUGUUUGCAGAGCUUGCUUUUCACAAGAUGCUGUGAAUAAGCACGUUGAAUUUGUGAGAGAGUAUAAACAGGAUUUCGAGCGUGAUCUUGAUCCUGGGAGCACUACUACUUUCCCGGCUACCCUCUCUGAAUUGACUGAGCGGUUAAAACAUUGGAAAAAUGUCCUCCAGAGCAAUGUUGAGGACAGGUUUCCAGCUGUCUUGAAGCUGGAAGAGGAAAGCAGGGUGUUGCGCGAUUUCCAUGUCGUUGAUGUAGAGGUUCCAGGACAAUACUUCAAUGAUCAGGUAAUCAAAUCAGUGUUUGCACAUUUCUGCUCCUAUCAUUGGGAUCCUGGCUUUAUUGUUUAUUCAUUAUGAUUUAACUGAUUGGUCUUCCUGUAUGACUGUCAUUGGAUAAAUGGAGAUGGUAGUAUCCCAAGCUGAUUCUAUCAUGUUAAAUGACUGUCAAGCUUCUUAAAAACAAGCCAGUUUUAUGAUCAAGUUCAUUCAAUAUUCUAUUUGAUUUCUCAAUGCAUUUUCUUAAAUAUAAAAACAUGAUUGUAAUGAUCGCAGGAAAUUGCACCUGACCAUACAGUAAAGUUAGACAGGGUUGGAGCUGAUAUACCAAUUGUGCGAAGACAUGGAAGUAGUUUCCGUCGUUUGACUUUAAUUGGCUCGGAUGGAUCUCAACGUCAUUUUAUUGUCCAGACAUCUUUGACUCCUAAUGCUAGGAGUGAUGAACGAAUAUUGCAGCUUUUCCGUGUGAUGAACCAAAUGUUUGAUAAGCACAAGGAAUCAAGGCGACGCCACAUAUCUAUUCACACCCCAAUCAUCAUUCCUGUUUGGUCUCAGGUUUAUCCCUAUACGCAUUUGAAGGAAUUAGAUUUUAUCUUCCCUCUCUUGUGUGUGUGUGUGGAAAAAGAAAAGGGCAGGAAAUUUGUUCCGGCCAUGUAUAUAAAGCAUGUGUGAUCAUUUGACUUAUCUACAUUUAAUAGUAUAGCUACUCAUACAUAUUCACUUUUUAUAACUCCCGCCUUGAAGACAUCUCAGCAGUUUAUAGUCAGUUUGGGAUUCAGUUCCCCUUGUACUCAACUAUUUCUGUAUGUGCAGGUCCGCAUGGUAGAAGAUGAUUUGAUGUAUAGCACCUUUCUUGAGGUGUAUGAGAACCAUUGUGCAAGGAACGACAAGGAAGCGGAUCUUCCCAUCACCUAUUUUAAGGAGCAAUUGAACCAAGCUAUAUCUGGCCAAAUCUCACCAGAAGCUGUCGUAGACCUUCGCCUCCAAGCUUAUAAUGACAUAACAAGAAAUCUUGUAACUGAUGGCAUUUUUUCGCAAUACAUGUACAAGACUCUGCUAAAUGGCAACCAUAUGUGGGCUUUCAAAAAGCAGUUUGCCAUCCAGCUGGCCCUCUCAAGUUUCAUGUCUCUCAUGCUACAAAUUGGUGGGAGGUCGCCAAAUAAAAUUCUAUUUGCUAAGAACACAGGCAAAAUAUUUCAAACUGAUUUUCAUCCAGCAUAUGAUGCAAAUGGAAUGAUCGAGUUUAAUGAACCAGUACCAUUUCGUCUUACGAGGAACAUGCAAGCCUUCUUCUCCCAUUUUGGAGUGGAAGGUCUCAUUGUGUCUGCAAUGUGUGCUGCUGCACAGGCUGUUGUUUCACCUAAAGUGAGUUUUUUGUUGGCAGUUGCUUUCAGUAUGAGGAUUAAUCAGAUCUAAGUUGAGAAUGAAGAAAGAAAAAGAAAUUAUUUGUAUCCUAAUUCUCAAUUUUCCUGUAUUGCAGCAAAGUCAACAUCUGUGGCAUCAGUUGGCUAUGUUCUUCCGUGACGAGCUGCUGUCUUGGUCUUGGAGAAGACCCCUUGGCAUGCCUAUGGCCCCAUUUGCUGGGGGGGGUAGUAUGAACCCCGCUGACUUUAAGCAGAAGGUCAUCACCAAUGUCGAGCAUGUUAUUGGCCGGAUCAAUGGAAUUGCCCCACAGUACUUUUCUGAAGAGGUAAGUCAGGGCCUCCAAUCUUAUAGUAGCAUAGAGCUUUGUCACUUGCAAUGAUGUCAAUUAAAUGCCCCUCUUGAAAUGAGAAAGAAAAAAAAAUUGCAUUCUUUUCCUUUCCCUUGUCUUUUCAAAUAGACUUCAGGACGAUGGUGGGCUGAAUUUUUUUUUCUUUAAUAUUUUAGGUUUAAUUGGUUUUCAAAUUUGGUUCAGAAUCUGGAAAUGAUUGCUAAUUUAACCGCCCCUAAGAGUGUGUUGUGUUUUCUGCUGCAUUCAGGAGGAUAAUGCCAUGGAACCACCACAGUCGGUGCAGCGCGGAGUGACUGAGUUGGUUGAAGCUGCCUUGACUCCGAGGAACUUGUGCAUGAUGGAUCCGACGUGGCACCCCUGGUUUUGAAGUUAGCACCGGAGGUUCUAGAGUUAAAAAUAUGGUAUAUUUUGCUCGGACGGUUUCCUGUUGUAAAUAUUUAUCGUGUACAUAUCGGUGCUCUUAUAGUGAUUUUGAGAAGUCAUUCCCCAUAAUUAUAUUUUUGACACCCAAUUUGGAAAGAAUUGAGUGGGGUGUUGAACAUGUAAAUCACAAAUUCAUAUGUAAAUCACAUCUAGGAGUAAAGAUUUGGUUCUAGGGUUUUAGGUAUCUCAUUGACGAGGAUCCAUAUAUUAUACAAAUGAAAUGCGUCAUCGUUCCUUUGCAAGGAAUUUUGUUUUUGGUUAAAACUAUUGAAAUGCAGUUACCGUAUUUGAGAUAUCAUUUCUUUGCAGUGAUCUUUUAUAUAGAUAUAUAUUUCCUUUCUGUAAAUGGAUGAAUAUUACCGCAAUGGGUAAAACCAGGGCAACAAAGAAAGAAACAAAGAUCAAGCAAACAAGAAAAGGUUCUUAUUAAUCAACAACAAGAACUACCAAGAACCAAAGGAGAUUUUUUCAGGUUAUGAUUUUCCUACUCUCUUUUUGUCCACUUACUCUCUUUUGUUUGUUAAUAUUUUUUAUUAUAACAAAAAAAAAGUGUAAGCAGAUUGAAGAGUGGGAAUAUACAAUUUCCAACAAAGAGUGUAAAUGCACAAAAGAUGAAUAAGCUCCUUUUUUAUUUUUUAUGAAGUGCUGUUAUUUUCAUCAUGUCCUAUUUCCUCUCCUACCUUGUAAAUUUGAAAAAACAUAAUCUUAUUUUUACACCCACUAUUAUUCUUAAAAUACUCAUCCUCAAAGAGAGGCUUGGGCUUGACUUCCCAUCUCUGCAUUGCCGCCUUCAACCACGUCAAGUCCAACUCCAUCUCUGUCAUCCCCUCCUGUUCUUGCGGCUUUGUCAGUAAACUCUCUCUCUCUCUCUGGGUUUGUGUCAAAAUUUAAUUUCUAUGCCAUUAACAUUGAAUUUUUUUUUGUCUGGUGGGUUUUAUAAUCUGAUUCAUUUCUGGGUCUUUAUGACCAAGACUUUUUUCUCCAGAACUAGAAAUGGUUUGUUUCUUCCUUUUUUGUGUAUGCAUGUUGUAAUUUGCUUCAUUGGCCGAUGAUACUGUCUUCAUAUGUUGUUCAUUAUGACAGACCCACAGUGAGGUCAAUGGGAUCAAAUGACCCUAUGGACUUCAUGAAAGUAAGUUACAAGGUUCCUUUUAAUGGCCGUGUGACUCCAUAAAUGGCUGAAGGAGAUGAUCUAAGGGUGAAGAAGAUGCAGAGCGUGCUUAUGUUUUUUUUAAUUUUUAAAACAUGCUGGGCAAAACGACCAUUUUAGCCUGGCGUUUAAUAUUUUUUUUUAACACGCUGGCCAAAAUGGCGUCGUUUUGGCCUAACCUAGUGAAUUUUUUUUAAAAAGACCUGGCCAAAACGACGUCAUUUUGGUCCAAGUCUUUAAAAAAAAAAAAAAAAAAAAAGAACAGAUUCAAAGAGAACUCUCCCGACUUCAGCAUCUCCAAUCCAAAACUCCCAUUCCUAAACCCUCAAACCUAAAUCCCCAAUCUCCAUCCCCCCAAACCUUUAACCCUCUCCCCCACCAAACCUUUAAGCCCUAGCCCCAGCUCCUCCAAAAAAAUUAAACUUUUACACUAUGACCCUAUGAGAUAAGAGAUAAGAUUCCUGGAUCCGUCCCUGAUUAUGAUGAUAAAUUCAUAGGAAAAUAAAAAUGUUUUAGGGUCUUGACCCUAUGGGGAAAUUUGUUGAAAACGUCAUCUGUGGUUAUAUGUGAUUAUGGAGUGUAAGUGGAUAAAAUUGGAGUGGGGGAAAUCACCACUAAAAAAAAAAGCUAGAAAUUAUAUUUGACUCAUUUCAUAAAUUUCUUAAUAAAUAGUAAUUAAUUAUUUUAAAUUUUGUGGACUCAUUUCAUAAAACAUACUAAUGAUAAAGUAAUAAGGCAUUUAGUUUAUAAAAAAGAAAAUUUUAAAUAUGAUAUUUUGCCACGCGACAUUUCUAUAUUUUUUGAUAUUUUGUUGAUCUAAUUCUACUUUUUUUUUUUUUUUUAAGGAAUCUAAUUCUACAUUUUGGUAAAAUAUAUAAAUAGAAAAAAGUACCAACUGGUCAAAACUAGCAAAGAGUGUUUCAUUCAUUAAAAAUCAGUGAGAACACUGAGAAUUACACACCAUUUGUGGUCAUGAAUAUCAUUUCUAUUGUGGAUCCCGAAUAAAAAAACAAAACUAAGGAAUUACAGAAAAUGACCAAAGCAAAUCCCUCCCUAAACAUGGUUAUCAAGAAAGACAACCAAAACACAUCAGCACUUCAAAACCAGAAUCUUAAUUUUCCUCCUCAAGAAAGCGCAUGUGCUUGCCUUUUGGUGUUGGCAAGCCCUUCAAGCGAAGGGCACUGGGUGAAACAACAGCACCUGAAUCAGGACUCUCUGCUGAAAAGUCUUCUUCAACGAUUUCAAUGUCAUCCUCACUGUCAUACACAAAUCUUGUAUGCUUUCCAGCAAACUUGGGGAUCAUUUUCUUCUCAUCAACACAAAUGUUGUUUAUACCAUCACAAAGCUCAUCAAGAUCAUAGCCUCCAUCCUGUUCAUGUUCUUCAAUUUCAUAACCUUCAUUCAGAUUCAGAUAAUAAUCUUCUUCUUCUUCUUCUUCUUCUUCUUCUUCUUCUGCUUGAGCAACUUCUUCUUCAUCUUCAUCAUGGGUGCUAGCAUUGACCUGAAUUGACCAAAUGGAAGCACUAUCAUCAUCUGGUGAUGACUUCUCUUUGAUUUCAGUAAUCACAGAGGAGCACUCUGAUGAAACAGAGGAGACUUCAGAUUUCUCAGAGAAAUCCAGCAGCAGAGACCGGCUGAUGAUACUCUUUUGUGAUUCAAGGCUUUCUUGAUUCUUUCCCUCAAAGAUGUCACAUACUACCUAUCACAUUUUCAUAAAUAAAAAGAAAUCAGUGAUUUGCACUUUUCAUUUUGGAGGUAAAUGAUUAAAGACCCAAUCGAAAUAUUGUCACCAAAAUUCCAAAUGAAAAUAGGAGAAGAACCCACAUAUAAUCUAGUAUGAAAAAUCUUCAAACACAAAAGGGUUAGAACCCAACCUGAGAAAUCAAUUGUUCUUGGAUAAGUGGAGAAGGCUUCUCGAAACCCACACCACCAUUGUUGCUUCCACUUGCAUCAACAGAGAGAUCAGAGACCUGUGGUGUGUUUGCCGGAGUUGGGGCAAGUAGUCCCAUUGGCGAGUUACCAGUAAUUCCUUGGAGAAGACGAAGAGGGCGGCUUUCCAAUGUGAUCUUUGAGAGCUCGGCCUCUUCCUCCACUUGUUGCAAGAGGGUCUUGACUUGACCCCUCAGCAAGGCCUCUCCGGACCCAGGUGUGUUCUUGGCUCUAAAGCUUCUCUGUUUGACUAUGGCCGAUGAUGGGGUCUCCAAGCUUCCCAUUGCAAGCCCCACAAUCGGAGAAUCAUUGGUUAUAUCAAUCAGGGCUGAUCUGUCUUGCUGUUGCUUCCCAUUUCUUGGUCUUGAUUUCGAUUCAACCUUUUCAGAAUCUUCAUUCUUCCCUGAAAAAAAGAAACCAUGUAUCAGUCAGUAUAGAGAAACCAAAUCUAUGGUAAACCCAAGUAUCAAUAAACCCAUUUUCCGAUCAAAACUCUAUGAUUGUUCAUAUUGAAAAAAGGGGGAAAAUGAAAACGAAAACCAUUAAACCAAGAAACUGAUCAAGACCCAUUUUUUAUAUUCAAAAACUGACUGGUUAUUCAAAAGCAAAGAAAAGAAAAGAAAGUGAGAGAACUCACUUGAAAGGGGAAUGUUGUUGGUGUUGCUGUUUUGAGCAACCAAAGCCUGAGACCUUGUGACUCUUCUGAUUGAAGAUGGGGUCUCCAUUGGAUUUGAAUUGAGAAAUUCGAUGAAAAACGAAAUGGGUCGUCGGAAAACUGAAGGCGAAGCAAACAGUGGACGCCGAAAAUCAAAUUAUUGGAAAGCAAGAGAAAAGUCGAUAUCUUUAGGGCAGAGCUUCGGAGGUUUAUAAAGAGGGUUUGGUGAACGGGGUUCUUAAACGGGAAUGUGACCGUUGGCGCGUGCGGUUCGUCGUAUUUUGACACGUUUGCCAAAACUAGCCGUUGGAGUUUAAUUUGAAUAGCUGUGGCCUCAUCUUUUAUUUUCGAGCAAUUUAAUGGGCCUUGAGAUAGGCCUCAUCAUGAUUUGUGUAAUUAAUUUCCAAGUCUGCCCACCAAUUUGCUUCAUUAUAAUUUUUUUUUUGUUAUUUCUCGUUGAUUGGGAUUGAGAUAGGAGGAAACAUAAAGAAAUAAUAACCAAAAGAUUUUUUUUUUUUUUUGUUAUUCAAUCGAGAUUUCUUACCAAAAAGAAAUAAUAACCAAAUGCAGUUUUUUUUCCCUCCUCUUGAGCUAUUAUACAAAAUGAUAAGGUUAAUAUAUAUAAUUUUUAUAGACGUGAAUUAUGUCAGAUGGGGCCAAGACACUGUACUCACUUUCUUGCACCCUAAUUCAAUCAUCCUUCCCAUAGAAUAGUUUAGUCCACUUUGUCAAAAAGUAGAUACAAUUUUUUUUUUCUUAUGAGAUUAUACAAGUAUAACUUGAAAAUGUCAAUUUGUAUAUACAUAUAUAUAUUUUUAUAUUACAUUCUCAUACCACUUUAUGUGGCAUACGAAGUGAACAUCCGCAUCAAUUAAAAAGUGUCAAUAAAUUAUAAAUGAAAAGAAAAUGUUAAAUUAAUUUUAAUUGAUAUAGAUGUCCACAUCGUCAGUCUCAUAAGGUGGUAUGAGAAUGUAAUAUACAGUCCCCUUCUAUUGAGGGAAUUUACGAAUUUUUUUCCAACGAUCCAAACUAUCUAUUUUUUAAGUCUACAUUCAUAGAUCAUCCUUGCAAAAAAUUAGAGAAAUCGGAAACCUUUUUAACAUCCAAUUGUAUCCUACAAAAUCAAUGAACACGAUACUUCAAGAAAGUACUAAAAUUUCAACAACACAAUUGAGUGGUCAAAUAAUAUCGGAUUCAAAUAAUUUUUUGUAGAGAUGAUAUUUGAAUGAUUAUCUAAAACAUAGACGAUCCGGAUGUCCGCACGUUAUUAUCAUGCAUAUGCUAUUGUAAACAUGCAAGAAAACAGGGAGGGAUAAUACAUAAUACAAAAUACAUAAUGUCCACACAAUAAUAACAUCCGAAUGUCCGCAUAAGAGAAUUUCUGUAUAUAUAUUCUAUACAUGUCAAUAUUGCUUAUAUAUUUGUAUCCAAAGUAUUUCUCAACGGACCAUCCCAGCCCAAGAAUAGGGACGGGCCAGACUUUGACGUUCUGGUGGGUUGGGCCUGUAAGGUGGAGGUAGACUGGGAGUAGUCUGUUAAGAAGGCAAAAAACAAAAAGGAGGAAAAUAUAUUGUGUAAAGAAACGAAAAGAGAAAGUGGGAGGUUGGGAAAGAAAUGAGAAGGAUUUGGUGGCCAGGUGCGCACACAGCUAAGCGCUUAUACUUUAUUUGAUUGGAGGAAUAAGCACAGCUCAUAUUUGUGUGAACAGCCAGAUGCGUACACAAAACCAUAAAAUUUAAUUAUUUAUUGUGAUCCACUCAAGAUUUCCUGCUGAAUCGUCCUCAGUUCUCUUAAUGAGAAAUUAUAGAAUAUUAUGGUAAUAUAGUUAUAUGAUAUAUUUUGUAUACGUAUUAUAAUAUGAGUAGACGACAUGAUUUAUUUUUCUCCUUUUUAAAUAAUAGUAUUCAUAAAUAUCUAAUUAGAUUAUAACACGUAUACAAAAUGUAUCACAUAACUAUACUACUGUAGUAUUCUAUAAUUUCUCUAAUUUGAAUAAACGAAAAUUGUAUAAUAAAAUAAGAAGAUUUUCAUAGUCCGUACAUUGCAACUUGCUAGAUUGAAUUUUGAACGCUGUCGGGAUUAAUUAAGUCACUGUUAGACAAUCUCACUGCUACAUGCAUGAUUAAUAAUACCUACAAGUGGCUUAAGGAAAAAAAAAAACACCCAACAACAUGUAUAUUUUACACGUUCCUACUUCGUUACUGAAGCUCCUUACAACUUUGAGUGGUAUAGCACUUACUGUUGCACAUUAAUUCGGAUAAUAUUUCAUUUUAGUUCUAGGAAACUCUAAAUGAUAUCUGAAAUAUUUUGUAGAUUCUUUUGUAUGUAAACUGAAAAAAGUGAUAUGGAUUGAUCGUUAUGUACAUAUUAUGUCAUCGUGUUUCAAGCAGGGGCGGUCCUACACCUAGGGCAAGGGAGGCUGCUGCCUACCCCAAAAUUUUCAAAAAUAAAAAAUACCCAUAUAGAAUAGGCCAACCCAUGUGAAACAUACAAAUCAAUGCCCACCCUAAACCCAUGUGAAACAUACAAAUCAAUGCCCGCCCAAAAAGUAAGCCAUAUGUAUGCAUAACAUAAAAUUUCUCUUCUCUUUAAUUAUCUUCUCUUUAAUUUCCUACCCCAAAAUUUUAAGAUUUUGUAUAUGACAACAUUGAAUUUAAUAUAUUCUAAAUAGGUUAGAAGUUAUGUGUUCUAAUCUAUUCUAGAGUUUACUUAAAGAAUGAAUUAUAAUUUGCUGACUUUGUUGAAAUUAAUUAGGUCUUUGAUUUUUGGAAUUUUUGUUGAGAUAUUUGAUUUGAUAUUGGUAUUUUUGAGAUGUUUUGAUUUGUUGGUAUGUUAAUGUUUGAUUAAAGGAAUUGAUGUUAUUAUGAGAAUUUAUUUGAUUUUUUUUGUUGAGAUGUUGGAUUAAAUAGGUUAUCUUUUGUUAUGUCAGAUUACAAUCCGAAUCCCAAGAAAAUGAAAAAUUUAUUGGAAAUUUUUUUUAAAGAAAAAUAAUAGUUUUUUUCUCGCUAUAUUUUUAUUUAUGUAUAGAGAUGCAUUUGAGAGUAAGGCUUAUUAUGUCUUCUUACUGGGUGUAUAAUUUUAUGUUUAUUAAUAAGAUUCACUCAUAACCUCAAGUUUUUAAUGUAAGUUUGCCCAGUUGAAUUUCAAAUUCUGAAUCCGCCACUCGUUGCAAGUGAAGUUGCUUUGUCAAGGUGUUAUAUGAGAAAAACUACAUCAUCUAACAAAUAAAAUACUCAUCGAACAACAAACAAACUCUAAAAUAAUAAUAAUAAUAAUAAUACUUUUUAUUAUAAGAAUGAAUACAAAAAAGAAAGCUUUUAUUUUACAAUUCAAUUCAUUUCUCAAUAAAGAGAUAAUUAACAAGUGUGUGAACUUUAUUCUGGUGGAAAACAACCCAUAUUUAUAGAUAUAUGGGAUUUUUUGAAAUGAAAUGAUUAAUGGAAUUAAUUAAGGGCAUUUUCGGGUUUGAUUGCGGGUGGUGAGGCUAGCAUAGCAAGGACAAGCCUCAUAGUUGCCAGCAGUGCCUGGAGGAACACAGCUACACUUGUCACAGCAACUCCCACAAGCCCUUUUGCACAGACGAGGCCUUGAUGAUAAUUUGCACCUUCCUUCACAUGCCACUCCGCAAUCUGCACGAUUAUUUUCAUCAUUUGCAUAAUAACAUAUAUUAAUUUCGUAUAAAUUAAUAUACAUAUUUACGUUAUUAUCGUACGAACGUCACGUAUUUUUUAUUACCUUCUAUACAGACGUUCGCAUAGAAGAAGAAUUUAUAUACAGAUUUUCUGUUAUGUAUUAUCAAAUCGUAAUAUACAUACCUAGGGUGGGCGGGGGUAGGGGGCUCGGUGCUCCAUUGUUGUUCAUCUGAAAAUAGUGUAAAGCACAAAAGUUAAAAAAAAACUUGAACCCAAAAAAAAAGAAAAAAAAAAAGAAAAGGAGACAUGGAUAUUACCAUGUGGGACUGAUGAGCUGCUUCAGUGAGAUAUUGGAGAACCAGAAAAGAGAAAACAAGGGAAGCCAUCAUCAGGGUUAAUCUUGAUGACAAGGCCAUAUUAAUUAUAUUUAUAUAGAAAAUAGCUAUAGCUAUAGCAGCUAGUAGAGAGAGAAGAUAAUUGGGAUGUUGUGAAAUGAGAGAGAGAUCGGAGUGAGUAUUUAUAGAGAGAUUGAUCAGAAAAGAGGGGGCGGGGUGGUGCAUGGAGUGGCAGUAGGGCGCAUGCCUGUCUCCCUAAUAAUAUAUUGCCACUAGACCAUUAUAUUAUUUUAUUUUAUUUAUGCUAAUUUUCAGUCCAAAGGGGUCUCAGCCGAAGUCAAACUGCCAGACUGCUCCCAACUCAUCAUAUUCAAGAUUAGGGGAGAGAGAGAAAGAGAGAGAGAGAGAUGUGUAUGGAUUAUGAUUGGCAAUAUUGGAGAGGAGUGGUUAAUAUUAUUGGAACACCGACAACUCAUAACUUGUGAAGUUGACAAGAAAGGAAGAAGCUGAGAAGAAAUGUUGUAUUCAAAAUGCAUCGACAGACGGGUGGAUAGUGAUAUCGACAGACGAGUGGAGCUGUUCUACAAUUCAACUUUGUUUCCCAAUCCCCGGUGCCAAAAGCAAAUGAAACAAUACUACUGUAAUACUUUGUAUAUAUAAGCUAGCUCCUCACACAGCACUUGAAGUCGUUGCUGCUUAUAUAAUUUAAAUCCGUAAACUCGUAAGUUUGUAACUCAAGUGAUUAACAACAUUUACGCUUUUCCUUAAUGAAAUCAUUGCUGCUUCUAUAAUUUAAACCGAUAAACUCCUAAGUUUGUAACUCAAAUGAUUGUGGGUCAACUCACUCUACAGAAAUUUGAUGUCGGCACUGUUUGACUUUGCUGUGUGAAACAUAUAUGGGCCAGCCCACUAUACUGAUCUUUUCUGCUUUUCUGCUUUUCUGCUCUGUUAUUGCUCAUACAUAGUGGGCCUCUUGUAAAAGCCCUGUUCUGUGGUGGAGAAAAGACACACAGGAAAGAUGUGGCCAAUUUUUGUUUGUCUGCUUUUAUUUUGAAUACAAGAAUAUUAAUCUAAUCUAAAUUAUGAGAAGGGGACGUUCUAACUAACUUGAGUAUGCCUAAAUAUAAUAUAUAUAUAUUUAUAUAAUGGUCCUAGUGGCAAUAUAUUUUAGUGUUUGCUUAUUAGAGAGAGCAUAAUAAAUUUAUACCUCAAAUUCAUGUGUUGUUAGGUCUUUACCAACUUUAUUUGAGAGUUUGAAUAAAUUAUUCGCUACCUAAAAGAGCUUGUUACUCUAACAAACCCUUCAAACUUUAUUGCUCACUCUUUAGACUAUGUAUACGUAUUAUAUUAUUAUUAUCACACUCUAAUUUUAUUCUUUGAUUUUUUAGAUAUCACAUCAAAAGAGCUUUCCUUCUUUUUUUCUUUUUUUCUUUUUCUUUUUCUAAUGAAAAAGUGACAUGCGGAUGCGGGGUCUAUAUUAUGUGGUGCCGUUUUAUCAGCAAAUUUGUUAUGGGUUGGUCUGGGUUGGGGCUAGCUAGAAUUCUAGGUGGCACAGUGACUAAAAUGAACCGUGGAAUUUGAGUUUGCAUUGUUUUGAUAUCUUGUUUAUUAUAGAUUUAGGCCGAAUUUUAUCAUGAAAUAUUAUUUGUGAUUUCUGAGUUCAUCCCACCUGAUAGCCAAAAACAACAAAUUAGGAAUUGAGCUGCUUGGUUGAUUAUUUGCUUUGAACCCUUUUAUAUAAGAAGAACUCUUUAAGGGCUCGUUUAGUAUAUUGGAUUAUUUGCUUUGAACCCUUAAAAUAUAUAUAUAUAAAAAGGAAACAUCGAACACUUUCUACUCCUCACCUAUCGUUCUUAAAUAAAAAAUAAAAAAUUUAUCCUCCAAAAAAAGUACUUUCUUCAUUCAAAACAAAACAAAAAAAACCUCAUGACUUCUUCUUUCUCUUAAACUCUGAUUUUCGGACCACCAAAAAGUAAGUUAGCAAAUGAGGGAUAUAAAGAUUGGAUACAUCUUAGUGGCUGACUUAAAGAGCAUGAGACAAGUAUUGAACAUAUCAAUCAUAUGAGCACUUGGAUUGAUUUUCGUAUUAUAUUGCAAGAAAAAAAAAAACAAUUGAUGGAGUUGUUCAAAACCGAAUCAAGAAAGAGAAAGAGCAUUGGAGGAACUUAUUAAAAAUAUUAAUUUCAAUUGUGAAAUAUCUCGGAAAAUAUAGUUUGGCUUUUCGUGCAAGUAAUGAGAAGAUCCACGAUAUUAACAAUAGAAAUUGUAAAGGAGCCACUAGUAUAGUGGUUUGGAAUAUUUACUCCCUCAAGCAAGGUUCGAGUCCUAGCAUCCGUGUUUUGUGUGUAAGUUUAAUAUGUUAUCGCCCCUUUCAAUAGGAAAGGUCCUCAAAAAAAAAUAAAAAAAUAAAAAAAUUUAUAGGGCAAGUUGAAAUAAUUGCAGAGUGGGAUCCAGUUAUGAAGAGCAUGUUCGACGUAUGGAUGAUAAAGAGACUCAUUAUCUUAGCUAUAAGAUUCAAAAUGAAUUGGUAUAUUUGUUAGCUUUUGAACUCAAAAGUGCAAUCAUUAAAAAGAUUUAAGAAACUAGAUAUUUUUCUAUGAUUCUUGAUUGUACUCCAGAUGCUAGCAACCAAGAACAAGCGAGUUUGAUAGUAAGAUGUGUGGAUGUUUCUACUAAUCCAAUAAAGGUUGAAGAAUUUUUUUGAAAUUUUGGAUUGUGAUUGAUGCAACAGGACAAGGACAUUUUGAAAAGUCGCAACUUGAUAUUGAUAAUGUGAAAGGACAAAGUUAUGACAAUGGAUCAAAUAUGAGUGGGAAAUACCAAGGUGUCCAAAGAAAACUUUUGGAUGUAAAUCCUAGAGCAUUGUACACACCUUAUGGUUGUCAAAGUCUUAACUUAACACUUUGUGAUAUUACAAACUCUUGUGGAAAAGCGAAAGGCUUUUUUGUAGUCAAACAACGUAUUUAUACAUUGUUUGUUGAUUCUACAAAUCGGUGGAAGAUGUUGAAAGAUAAUAUUAAACACUUAACUCUGAAAUCGUUGUCAGUUACAUGUUGGGAAAGUCGUAUUGAAAGUGUAAGAGCAAUAAGAUUCCAAGCUCCAUAUUUAAGAGAAGCUUUACUUCAGCUAGCAGAAAGUGGCGGUGACUCCAAAAUAACAAGUGAAGCUAAUUCUUUGGCAACAUAUGAACUUGAAAAUUUUGAGUUCUUAUUGGGGAUGGUUAUUUGUUAUGAUAUAUUAGGUGCUGUCAAUGUAGUUAGCAAAAACUUACAAUCUGUAGAUAUGCUUAUUGAUGUUGCUAUUGAUAAAGUGAAAGGGUUGAUUACUUUUUUUUGAAAAGCAUAGAGAAAAUGGGUUUACAAAAGCUAUGUGUACUGCUAACGAAAUUGCUACUAACAUGGGAAUUGACCCGGUGUUUCCUGAGAAGCGAAAAAGUUCGUAGAAAAAAAUAUUUUGAUGAGACUACUGGUGAGCCAUCCCAAUCAGUUCCUGAAUCAAAUGAAGAAAUGUUUAGAAUUGAUUAUUUCUUAUAUGUAGUGAAUUAAGCUAUUGGUUCUUUACAAAGAAGAUUUCAACAAUAUCAAGAGUAUGAUAAUAUUUUUGGGUUUUUGUUUACUUCAGAGAAGUUAAAUUCAUUGGAUGACUGCGAUUUGAAGAAUUAUUGCAGUCAUCUAGAAAGUAUUUUGAAAAAUGAUAAGUUUUCUGAUGUCGAUGAGGAGGAUUUAUUUGUUGAGUUGAAAGUUUUACGGAGGGUUUUACUAAAAGAAAAUAUCACAGCUACUGCAAUAUUAAAUUUCUUGAAAAGAUUAAAUUUUUUUCCAAAUGCAUUCAUUGCAUACAGAUAUCUAUUGACUAUGAAUGUUACUCUUGCAUCUGCAGAAAAAAGUUUUUCAAAAUUAAAAUUAUUAAAAUCAUACUUGCGAUCAACUAUGUCGCAAGAAAUAUUAAACGGACUAGCUUUGAUUUCAAUUGAAAGUGAACUUCUAGAAAAAGUUGAUUAUGAACCUUUGAUUGAUGAUUUCUCUUCUAAAAAUUCAAGAAGAUCAAUUUUCAGACAUUAGGAUUGUAAUGGCUGUGUUUUUUUUUUUUUCUUUUGGGGAAAAAGCUCUUGUAAUAGUUUUAAUUCUUCAAAUAAAGAUAGCAAAUACAAUGUGAAUGAUUUUUUGGUAGUCAGGUAUGUUUUUGUUGUUGCUUUUGUAUUUAAUGCAAUAUAAUCUAAUUUGUUAAUGACAUAUGUAUGCAACUACUCUUUAAUUUGUGAUUGCCAAAUUUUUUAAUUAAACAAAUUGCUUAUUGGAGACAGAAAGGACCUUAUAGGGGCACAAGGAGAUUAUUUUUGUACCAAACAUUUAACCUUAUCAAAUGAAAAUAUUUAAAUUUUUAUGAAUUUGAUUUCUAAUUGUCAUUACAUAUUUAUUGAUGGUGACUUUUAGUUAUAAAAAAAUUGUUUAUGACAUUAAGUUAGGACAAAUUUUUAUUUAUAGUAUUUUCGUAUUAGAUUAUGUGAGGCUCCAAUUUAAAUUUCGCAUGGAGCCCUUAAAAUUUCAGAGACAACCCUGUUCGCAGGAAAAAAAAGUAUCUCCUUACCAGUAAGAAGACAAGCAAUAUCCAUCAAGUAAUGACACUUUGGUGAGUCAAAGUGGGGUUCCGUCCAAGGAAUGACAGUCAAAACAAUAGCUUAAAAGGCAAUGGAAUAGCAAUACUUACAUGGAAAUCCAGCUACCUAUGAUAUUCAAAGAGAAAGCGCACUCCUCUAUUUAUUCUCACAAGAAGAAGAGCUAGUGAAAUGGACCAUUUCUUCAUGUUAGCAGAGGAAAGAAAAGAGGCCCACUGUGAGAAGAGAGAGUAAUUCAGUUGCUAACAAGCGCAGGUUUUUCGUUAAAUGGUUGGUGACUGACUGGUGGGUGAGAAGUGGGACAAAACCAAAGUCAUAUAUCAUGAUUCAUCAUGACCACCAUUGCAAUAUUAUUGUAUGUAACACAACAAAGUGGUGGGUAGGCACGUGCAUGGCUAGCUCAUACAUACUAUUACAUACAUAAGAGUCUUAUGACAACACUAGUUAGGUGAAGAUCACGUGACGCGACUUCAGCCCACACAACCUGUUGCUUUUUCUCAAUUCUAAUUCUUCAAUUAAAUCUUCUUUUCAUAUAUUUUAUUAUAUUUAGUUUAGUUUAUCAAGUGGCGGUCAAAUCUUCCCAUCGGAUUUUAUGUUCUCUUGCUCCAUUUUCCACUUUUGUCAGCUGAAUGCUCAACCAAUCUACUCCCAAUGGUUUGAUUGACCACACCAAAAUCCCCUUUCCCUUGCUCCUCUGUGAACGGAACUUGCACAUCUGCUGAAAAAUUCUUGAGUUUACAGACGUAUAUAAUUAAGAUGUCGCCAAAAAAGUUUUACUCAUAAUUAUUAUUUAUUAUUAGAAUGGCUCCCUUUAUAAUUUCCGUAAAAAACUCAAUACAAAAUUGGCUACACAGCCAUCAUUGCAUUUAAUAUUUACCCCCAAGAAAGAUUGUGACAUUCUAUUUCGGUCCAAGGCCUUGUAUGGUUUGUACAAGUGACGCGAUGCAUGAUUUUUAAAACAACUCCAAAUCUCCAUACAUGGACGCAUCAAAUUACUUUAUAUACAUAUAAUAAAAUGAAUUAAUUUGUACAAAAUUCUUCUGAAAUUAUGUACAAUCUGUGUGCUUGAAACCUCCUAAUAAAAAAAUUAAAACAAAGAAAGCCAAAAGGGUUUGGUAGCUGUGCAGCUAAUGAGACUGUAAGAGCUCACUCACGAGCCAUGAGGUAGUUGGAGCGGUCCCCUUAAUUUUAACACUUAAAAACUCAAUUUUUAUUUUUUUUGUCAAUAAAAACUCAAUAUAUAAAUCACACGCCCUAAACAACAAUUUAAACAUCAAAUUCCUUUUCUCUCCAACACCAAAACCACACAAACAAACAGACCUAACACAUUGAACAAGCAUGGCUCCUGCUACUACUCUCACCUCCAUAGCAGGGGAGAAAACCCUGCAACAAAAAUUUGUCCGGGACGAAGAUGAGCGCCCCAAGGUUGCCUACAACAACUUCAGCAAUGAAAUCCCGAUCAUUUCGCUUGCCGGGAUCGACGAGGUGGAAGGCCGCCGGGCUGAUAUUUGCAAGAAGAUUGUGGAGGCUUGUGAGGAUUGGGGUAUUUUCCAGAUUGUUGAUCAUGGAGUUGAUACCAAGCUCAUCUCGGAAAUGACCGGUCUCGCCAGAGAGUUCUUCGCUCUGCCCUCGGAGGAGAAGCUUCGUUUUGACAUGUCCGGCGGCAAAAAGGGUGGUUUCAUCGUCUCCAGCCAUUUACAGGUAACCCAAAAUAGAAUUCACGAAUCACAACUCCGAGUCUCUUGCUUUGAUUGAUACCAUAAUAGAAAAAAAAAAAAAAUAUAUAUAUAUAUAUAUAUAUAUAUAUAGACGGAAGAUUAAUUUUUAUUUUAAACACGUAGUUUAUUACUGUUUUUGAAAACUUAAGCCAUUGAAUUAUGAUUUUAGGUUUUAAUAAGAUUUUUGAAAGCUGAAGCUGUUAGAACAUGAACGGGUCAUUGUUUUAUAUUGUAACACAUUUGGACUAUAAUUUUAGGGAGAAGCUGUGCAAGAUUGGCGCGAAAUUGUGACAUACUUCUCAUACCCAAUCCGGCACCGGGACUAUUCGAGGUGGCCGGACAAGCCGGAAGGAUGGAGAGAGGUGACACAGAAGUACAGCGACGAGCUGAUGGGGCUGGCAUGCAAGCUUUUGGGGGUGUUAUCAGAAGCCAUGGGACUGGACACAGAGGCAUUGACAAAGGCGUGUGUAGACAUGGACCAAAAAGUUGUGGUCAAUUUCUACCCAAAAUGCCCCCAACCCGACCUCACCCUUGGCCUGAAGCGCCACACUGACCCAGGCACAAUUACCCUUUUGCUCCAAGACCAGGUUGGUGGCCUCCAGGCUACCAGGGAUGAUGGGAAGACGUGGAUCACCGUUCAACCAGUGGAAGGAGCCUUCGUGGUCAAUCUUGGGGACCAUGGUCAUGUGAGUAUUUAUGAUUUACAUUGUCACUUAAAUCGAAUUAAUUAUAUUAUACAUAAUUUACUGUCACAUUAUAAUGUAGAUAUGAGUUACGUCAAUUUGAUCUACUUUUUCGUACGUUAUCAUGGUGGUAGGCAGUGGUCAUUUUAUUUAUGUGAAUAAUGGUGAUAGGGACCUAUGUUUAUAUCUUCCUUAUAUUUAGUAGUUUGUUGAAAUAUUGAUUAUGAAACAAUGAAAAUGACACGUGUACAAUUGCGCGUGUUGUUGGGAGUCCAAUGUAACAUAAGAAAAUGUAUAUUGUUUAUUUUCGCACGCAUAUAUAAUUAGAAAUCACUCACAUCCGCAUAAACGAGUAACAUUCUUUUAUUAGUAUUCAUUUCUCUGAAUUAAUUUAUAGCAUUUAUGGAAAAUAAAAUCACGGGUUUGAGUCAAUUUAAUUGAUUGGUUUUGUACACAAUUGUAAUGUGAGCAGUUUCUGAGCAAUGGGAGGUUCAAGAAUGCUGAUCACCAAGCAGUUGUGAACUCAAACAGCAGCAGGCUGUCCAUAGCCACAUUCCAAAACCCAGCUCAAGAAGCUACAGUCUACCCACUGAGCAUCAGAGAGGGAGAGAAGCCCAUUCUAGAGGGGCCAAUCACCUACACAGAGAUGUACAAGAAGAAGAUGACCAAGGACCUUGAGCUUGCCAGGCUCAAAAAGCUGGCCAAGGAGCAACAAUUGCAGGACUCGGAGAAGGAGGGCAAGCCAAAGGAUGAUAUUUUUGCUUAGCCACCUCAGUUUCUCUCAAAGCUUGCUCUUGUUAUGCUACUGGAUACUUGUACCUUUGCCGUCUAGUUCUUCUAUGUGCUUAGCCAGUGGAUGAUAUUUUUGCUUAGCCACCUCAGUUUCUCUCAAGGCUUGCUCGUGUUAUGCUACUGGAUACUUGUACCUUUGCCUUCUAGUUCUUCUAUGUGCUUAUAUAUGCAAUUUGCUUAAUUUGUGUGUUUUGGGGCGUUGGAAAAGUUUGGUCAAUUUGUGAGUCAAUUUGUGAGUCAUAUUUUAUGUUAAAUUAAUAGAAAAAUAAUUU